Molecule: long non-coding RNA, 51522 nt
Filed under: Malus domestica (apple)
Lineage: Eukaryota; Viridiplantae; Streptophyta; Magnoliopsida; Rosales; Rosaceae
Description: long non-coding RNA (MDOM_LNC013731)
Source: RNAcentral
UUCCAUUCACCUUCUGAUCCUCACCGAUCUUGCGGUGUACAUGUAUAGCCUCAGAAACUCAGCCACGACCAUAAACACAGGAUUGAAAAAGCAUGCAGGAAAUACAAAAAGUUGAGCGAUUAAAUAAAAUUAUUUACAGACGACACAGAUUAGGAUUGACGGGGAAGUGUGGAACCAGAAUUGACACCACCGGAGAUUCAGAAUUCAGUGGCUGCCUCAGGCUGCUCGCCGUGUCACCUCCUGCUGCUGUUGCUGCUGCUGAUCCUUCGACACAGACACGAGAACGAUGAUGAAGGCAGCAACAGAUGAAAGACAAAAACCCCAUGAUAUCCUCCUGAUGGACCUGACCUCUCUCUCUCUCUCUCUACAAAUUUUUAACAUUCAAUUUGAGUGUUGCAAAUAGCAAUAGGAUCAUCAUUUUAACAAGGUGACUUUUGACUUUGUUGGCCUUUUCCAUUUUCACUAAUCAAUGCUAGACUGUGAGUCGCAAGUAAAUAUUACCCUCCCUUUCUGGUUCCAUUUACAAAUGCACCACUUUAAUCCUAUCCUUAGAAAAUGAAAAGCUAAUAAAAACACUCAAAAUUGGGCCAUCUUAAUAUUAUGGACAACAAAAUUUAGUUAAUCGACGGCCUGGAUUAAUUUGAAGGAUUUUUUUUUUUAAAAAUACAAAUUUUUUAAACCACACACUUAACAAACUUAUAAAGUUCAACCAUCUUUUUCGUUCGUCUUUUAUUUAAUUAUGCUUGUAUGUGAUGCUAUGCUUUGAUUUGUAUUUAAAGUUAAAUUAUCGGAAUUAAAUACGGAGUUUUACUUUUAAAAUACAAACAUACUAACUACGCAAUUACAAGGCAUAAAACAUAAAAAUAUAUAUUUGUUAAUAGCCUUUGCCCUUGCGGUUACCCUUCAUUUUGCUUAAACGGAUGGACUUGCACAAAGACAAUUGCAGUUUAGAGUGAAUAGUAAAGAUAAUUUCACCGACCUUACUUUUGCCUUGCUCUUGCUUAAAACGGGUGGAGAUGCCUUGAUGACAAAGCAAAAGAGAUAUCGAGGAGUAAAAGGAAACAACAACAUUCCACAAUAAAAAAAACAGUGCCAAAUGUCAUCCACUUUCAGAAAUAGUGCAAAUAAUUGUAACUUUUCGUUUUGUUGAAGUAAAAUUCACAUUUACAUCUUCACGAAAUAUAAAAUGUGACCAGCAUAUGAUUUUUACAUUUUAAAUUUGCAGCUCGCAUGCGAAAUGCUCUAAGGAGGAACUUCGUCAUAAACACAGUAAUUUUGUGGAGUCGAGCAAAAUUUUUUUAUCUAGUGUUAAACUCAAAGAACACGUUGUAUAAAGUUUAUCCAAAGGAGUGCGAAAAGACGACGAGCAAAAGGUUGGGAAUAUAUCUAACAUCCAAUACUAGUUGCAAUGUUUUGUAAUUCGGUACUUAGCAAGUUUGUUCUUUAAAAAUAAAAUUUUGUAUUUAGCUCCGAUAAUUUAACUUUAAAUAUAAACCAAAGCAUAGCAUCACAAACAAGCAGUUAUAAAAAAAAAAACAAUUACCACGUGGCAGAAACCCAUUGCCACACCCAAAUUUCUUGGGCCAUUAUUGGCCGUUGAUUGAGUAGACAAGUGAUGGGAGGACAGAAGAAACUCAAAGUUCGAGGGUUCCAGAAACUCCGACGAUGGCAGGGAUUGGCUCUUGCUGUACAACUCUAUCCUCCACAACUUUGGCUGUAUUUCUGGAGAUGUAAUCUUCCUCUUAGCUGAUGUCCAGUUUUAUGUUUCUGGACCUUUGGAUGGACGUCUUGAAUAAAUUUUCCAUUUCGUACUGUUGGAUUGUUGUUAGUAAUUAAGUUGCAAAAACAUAUUGUUUUAUACGAGAGUUUUUCAAAAUUUAUGACACGUUUUGAUUCCGGUUCUUGUGAGUUAGUAAAAAUCGCAACUAGAAUAAAACAUGUUCUCUUUCUGAUUCGAAGCAUUUAGCAAAUAUCUCGACGCAAUUCCUUGGGUUGAUUCUCUUAUAUUUGUCAAGGAAAUAAACUCAUGAUUUUUAUUAAAUCCCUUUUAAUUUGCUAAACAGGUGUGUCUAUUUCUAUGUGCAAAAUAAACAGAUUAUAGAAUGUGAGAUAUGGAUUCGUAUCCAUUGUCUAUAGAAAAAAAGUGCGAAUGCAACAUUGUUUAUAUUCUCGAAUGCUAUUUAGACAUACAAAAUUGACGACAUUGAUAUGACAUUCUAACACAGGCUAAACAACAUUAGUCGUUUCAUUUCCAUUCUUAAACUUCUGCUCUAUGAACCAAAUGAUUUUUGUCUUUAUUUUUAGUAGAAAUGGUAUUUUACAGUAAUCUACAAUAAAAGGAGGGGAAAGGUUUGAAUCUAGAACAAUGUGAGUUGAAAAUGAAGAUCCUAACUAUCAGGAACCAGUUUUCGUUUCUCAUUUUUGCCUUCUUCCUGGGAAUGACAGUGAAAUUAAACAUAUAUACCCAAUAUUUAAAGGGAAAGAAAGAAUCUUCCAUUCAUCUUCUGAUCCUCACCCAUCUUACGGUGUACACCUAUAGCCUCAGAAACUCAGCCACCACCUUACACACAGGAUCCAAAAAGGAAAAACAAAAAGUUGACCUAUUAAAUAAAAUAAUUUACAAACGAGAGAUAUUAGGGUUGACGGGGAAAUGCGGAACCACAAUUGGCACUACCGGAGAUUCAGUGUUCAGAGGCUGGCUGCUGCUCACUGUGCUACCUCCUCCUCCUCCUCCUGCAGCUGCUGCUGGCCCUUCGCCGCAGACACGAGAACCAUGAUGAAGGCAGCAACAGAUGAAUGACAAAAAUCCCAUGAUAUCCCCCUGAUGGACCUGAUCUCUCUUGAUUCUCUCUCUGUAGAAAUUUUAUACAUGUAAUCUGAGUGUGCAAAUAGCAAUAAGAUCAUCAUUUUAACGUAAUAUAUAGAUAAUAUGUUGCGUUAAUAACAAGGUAACUAUUUUUAAUUACCACAGGGUGCACCAAUGGCUGGGGUAAAUUUUAGGUUUGUAUUUCACACGACACAUCUUGAAUUUGAAUAUUAGUAUUGGUGAAUCGUACGAUGAUGGCCAAAAGGAUGUUAAAAUGUAUCUAUUAAUCUUUUCGGCUUCUGAAAAAGUAGACUGUCAUAAAAAAAUCACCGACAAAUUUAAAAAAAAUAAAAAUAAAUAACAAGGUAACUUUUGUCUUGUUGAUCUUUUCCAUUUUCACAAGUAAAAUGCUAGACUGAGCAGGUCACAAGUCAAUGAAAAGCUAAUGAAAACACCGAAAGCAGGCCCUCUCAAUAUUAACGACAACAAAAGUUUUUUGGAUAAGCAUCGUCUGCCCUCCUAGUUGUGCCCUUUCAUACCCUCCUAUUUUGUGCGAUCACGUCAAGCCACGUUAAUAUUUUAUAUUAAUUUUUAAUAAAAUAAUAAGACAAAAAAUAAUAAAAAUAUAAAAUAUUAACGUGGCUUAACCGUGACCGUACAAAAUAGAAGGGCAUGAAAGAGCAUCACAACUAGGAGGGCAGACAAUCCUUAUCCUUAUUUUUUAACGUGGAUGUCACUUAAUAAUGUUUCUGAACGUCGAUGUCACUACUGGUUCUUUUUCCUCCUCGUGCUGCUGACUGUUCUGCUUAGUCUUCAUACUCCAUUACUUUUUGAAGAAAAAAAACGCUCUUACCACUUGCUUUGGUGUACGAAAGAAAUUUCAACUUUAUGCUCAAAGAAGAAUUUGGCAUAAAAACUUUGGACAAUGAUUGUCUGCCCUUCUAGUUGUGGUGUCCUUCCAUGCCCUCUUAUUUUGUGCGAUCACGGUUAAGCCACGUCAAUAUUUUAUAUUUUUAUUGUUUUUUGUCUUAUUAUCUCAUUAAAAAAUUAAUAUAAAAUAUUGACGUGGCUUAACCGUGACCGCACAAAAUAGAAGGGCAUGGAAGGGCGCCACAACUAGAGGGCAGACAAUCCUUAUCCAAAAAAUAAUGCAAUUAACUGUAAUUUUUUGUUAGAGUACAAUCAUAUUUACGUAGAUUUUUAUAUUUAAAAUAUGCAGCUCCCUUUCGAAAUGAUCUAAGUAGGAAUUCCGUCAUAAACACAGUUACAUGAAACGGCUACAAGAUAUUUUGGAAAUUACGUAACAAUUUUAUGGAGUUAAGCAAAUUUUUGUUGGAUAAUGUUAGGAUGGUCAAAAUUUUAAAUCAAAUUUGUAAAAUAAAUAAUGUAUUACCAAUAAAAAGUAAGUACAUUAAUUAACAAUUAAAUGAUAAUUCAAUUAUCAACAAACACAUCAUUUAAUUUACAAAAUUCAAUUUAAAAUUUUGAUUUUCCUAAAAUUACUUUUUUUUUUUAUAAAUCUGGUGUUAAACUCAAAGAACAGGUUGUAUAAAAUUUAUCCAAGAAAAAGACGAAAAGCAAAAGGUUGGAUAUAUAUCUAAUAUCCAAUACCAGUUGCCACGUGGCAGAAACCCAUUGCCACACACAAAUUUCUUGGGCCAUUAUUGGCUGUUGAUUGAGUGCACAAGUAACUGGGGAGAGAAGAAACUCAAAAGAUUGAGGAUUCCAGAAACUCCUUCGAUGGCAGGGAUUGGCUCUUGCUCUACGACUCUCUCCUCCACAAGGUAACUUAUUCCCUGUCUUUCUUUGUUUUCGUGUUGGAAAGACUGCAUUUUUACUAGGAAAAGUUCCUACUCUGAAUACUCUCUCGGAUUCUCGAUGGCGGGUUUUCUUGUUUGGUUGCUGAGAAAAUGUAGAAAAGUAAGAUUAUUGAACAACUAACAGAAUCUUUUGCUCUUUUGAAGCAUUAUGAGAUACAGAAAUACGUUCAACUACUCAUCUAGCCAGAUGUGUCUUUAGCUUGUUUUUAUACCACAUUUGAUGUGAACAAUCACAUUUGAAUUAAUCAGAUUUUUAAAUUUAGUUCAUUAUUUAAUAAACUAAUAAUUAAGAAAAACUAGUUAAUUAAAUGAUGAUUGUGGUAUACGAUGAGUCUUUUUCCUUCAUUUCCUUAGAUUUUGCAAAAUUUUUAAAUAAUGUGGCUGUCCACAUCAGAUGCACAAGGUAGUAUAGAAAUGUGGUAUUAAAACAUGGUAUAAAUAACAUUACUCUUUCCUAUAACCAAAAACGUUUAUGAUGGCGCUUAGUAGGAAAAGCUAAAAGUGAUUAUGACUUCUGGAGAAUCACCAAGUUCCAAGUGCUUUUCAGAAAAGCGCAUGUUGGAGAAUAGAAUCCCACAUCGGAAACUUCACAUAGGAAAAUUACACCUUACAUUGUAUGGUUCCAUUUCUAGCUAGUUGCACAGAGGCCAACAGCUGCCCAACCGUGUGGUGGUUCAGUUGGAACACUAUCGGGAGGUGAUUAGUAAUUUAGUAGUGGGCCGCUAGCUCGACUCUGAAAUCUUGACAACACCUGUUUCCAAAUGCUUUUUGAGCAGCACCUUGAAAUUGUACCAGAAGCCUAGCACUUGUUUAGGUUCAAAUCGCAUAUGCUUUACAAAAUUUACUCCUUAUUUUGUUACAUUUUGUUUCUUUUGGAUCACUUUGAACGCAGUUGGUAUCAUGGUAAUAUAUGUUAGUGAAUCUAGUGAAAUUGUUACACACACAAAGAAAAAUGAAGUAAGGGGUAAGAAAAUUUUUUUGACAGCAAUUUCUGCACAUCUUGGUUGAAACUUGGCACCCGUACUCAUGGUGGAGGAACCAUCUUAGGGCAACCAACCCGCCAUCGACAAAAAUUCUCAAUCAGAGCAGAAGUGAAUUUUGUAAGUGCAGAAGAAGCAAAAGAACUUGUUGCAGUUGAGGGAUAUACAGUCAUUGAUGUCCGGGACAAAUCUCAGUAUGAACGAGCUCAUAUCAAAUCUUGCCAUCAUGUGCCCCUCUUCAUUGAAAACCAAGACAAUGAUUUUGGUAAGCAUUUCUUUCUUGGACAACUCAUUUGUCACAAAUGUGGCGUCAUUUUUAUAUAAUAAUAAUAACCAGAACCGUUCGUUCUUUUUGUCAUCAUCUAAAGAUCAUCUUCAAAUUUUGUAUCUUUUGUAUUAAAUUUGAGCAUUUUAUGAUUUUCAUAACCGAAAUGGAAUUUGAUUUUGUUAAUGAUGAAUUAUGGGCAGGAACAAUCAUAAAGAGGACUCUCCACAACAAUUUUUCUGGUCUCUUCUAUGGAUUGCCUUUUACUAAACCUAACCCUGAAUUUGUAGAGUCAGUUAAAACCAAGUUCUCACCCGAAAGUAAAUUGUUACUGGUGUGUCAGGAAGGGCUGAGGUAAGUUUUUUCAUAUGUUAGCUGCUAUGUUUUUCACCUAGCAACCGUUUGACAAGAUCCUUUUGUUUCCUUUUAAUUUGAAGGUCUGCUGCUGCUGCCAAUAAGUUGGAGCAAGUAGGUUUUGAGAACAUAGCGUGUAUAACAUCAGGUCUUCAAAGCGUAAAACCCGGUUAGGAUUCGAGCUAGCUCCAAUGUCUUUUCGUUCUCUGGAUUAUGAUCUGUUAAAAAGAUUAUUUGGAUCUAAUGCGACCGUUUGCUACACCAGGAGAAUUUGAUUCAGCUGGUUCGACGGAGUUGCAAGAUGCCGGCAAAGCCGGAUUAGUCACUGUUCAGGGAAAGAUCUCAGCUGUGCUUGGAACAGUACUAAUCUGUAAGUCCUUAUGAAUUUGACCUUAAAAGCACUUUUGUUCUGUUGGUCCAUGAGGUGAUAUUUUGAUCUCUGUUCUGAUCAAAUGGCAGGUGCAUAUUUGUUCAUCACCUUCUUUCCCGAUCAAGCAGAGAAGAUACUCGCAAUUUUCGCGGCCAGCUAGCCCGAAUGCGGUGCAUACAUUUAUGAGGAAGUUUUGCAGAUCCCUCCAACCCCAUCAAGAGAUUUGAGUAGGGAGAGAUUUUUGAGGCAUGUGCUGCUCUGCAACAAGCUGUAUAAGGUUCAGAUCAUGAUAAAUUGUCAUACAUAUUCAUCAUUCAACAGGUUUUUGCUGCCUUAUUCAGGUUCCAAACCAGUAAGAUCAUGACGAUAAUCUACACCAAUACACGAUGACGUUCCAACUAUAAAUAAAAUUCAUAUGACGAGCCAUAUCACUAUAGAAUUACAAGCUAUAAACCAAAACCUCGCGAAAGGGAAAGAAACUCGAAGGUUAGAGUCGAGAUCCAAUAUUCUAGACCCACGAAAGAGGAAAAAGGAAAAUUCACAAGGCUGUGAACCUAGGUUGACAAAAUAUUACAGUAAGAUUUUGUUUUCUUUACCCAAAAAAUAUUACAAUGAGAUUAGCAAAUGUAUUCUGAUUCCAUCCUGUGCACCGUGUAUCAAUGCAUAAAUUAUGCAGGGUACCAUACCAUUCCACAGUACUUAGGGUUGAUCCGCAGCUGCCAACGGCACGAUGAGCAUGAUAGGAUUGAAGGAUAAAACAGCCAGCUUCUUUCUGCACCGCUCUUGUUCUACGGCAUUAUGAUGCACAAAAUCAUUCUCCUUGUAGGCAAUAGAGCUGACGGAUGUUUCCAGAAGCUGUCAAAUGGGUUAACUAGAUCAGCUUUUAAACAACAUCCUACUUAUCUACAAUAAAAGCUCAUGAAAUUACAUAUAAUGGUAUGUAUUUGGCACAAUUUCAACUCAAUAAUAUGCAUUAUGGUUCAAAUAAAGCCACAUAAAAGAGGGUAUUAAAAAAUAGUAUACUAUUCAGAACGUUAAACAGCAGUAUAUGUCGCUUGAAAAUGCAGUUUCAAAAUACAGGAUAUGCCAACUAACUUUGUUGUGCAAAGUGCUGAUGAUGUUCCAAGAAAUACAAUGUUCUAGCACGUGUGUGUCAACGUGUGGAAACUAUUGUAAUAAUGAACAUUACCAUAUAACCAGUCUUUAAAAUAUACGUGGAGAGCAGUUGAUAAUUCCCGCUUUCUAUUUUCUUCAAGAGGUGCUUCCCUCAAUAAUUGCUUUACCUCCCCAAGAUUGUUCUGCAGGAGAAAAGGUUAAACAUAAUUAAAACAUAAAUAACAUUGACCACCUCAAUCAAACAUCAAGGAAUUCUUAGUAAAACAGUAAGAAAAUAUCUAAUGACUAAACCCAAAUAUAAAAAUAAAAAUCUACACUAGUGUUAAGCCGGAGUAAGCAUACGUUUCUCUGCUGGGAAACCAUGUAAGCAUCUGGUAAUGGAAAUGGGUUGUCUUUUGUGGAGCCCUGCGAUUCACCUCCAUACCAGUUUGGAAUCUGAAUAUAAAAGAGACAUAUAGGAUGUAACUAGAUAAUUCAGAAAGAAAAUGAGUAAUUGUACAACCAUUGCCAUCUCAACCACCCUAAGCCAACCAAAUGAAGAAACAUACUCAUAAAUACAAUUGUAAUGCCCCUAAUGUGCGUGACUUUGUCCGAAGACUCUGUUGGUAGAGCUUUUCUCUAUUUAAUUUCCAAUGAAAAACUAUUAUUUCAGAAAACUAAGGAAACCCCUUUAAUACAGUAUAAAAUCUAAAUUAAAAGCUUGUAAAGAUUAUAAUACCAAGAAAUUUGUGAACUGGUCGGCGUCUAAGUGUGCAGCAGACUCAGCCUGAGCCUCAGAGACACCUGCUGGAUGAGAUAAUGAAUCAUGUGGGUCAACCACUCCAAGUGGCAGGGGCUCAUCCCAUCUGUUGAUAGUAGCAUCAACCCCAACUUCCUUCAUGUGCUCCUCCAACUGACUGUAAAAUGUAUUGUAUGGUGCCACCUGAUAAAAGCCGAGGUGAAAACAAAGAUCAGAGCAUGUUAAAUCUUCAUUAGAACUUGAAAACUAAAACACACAAAACUAUGAUCAUAACAAUAUAUAAUACUUAUUAUGAUCGAAGAAAUCAAUGCUACAUUUCAGUAAAAAAAAUUCAAUUUUGUCUACUCUUAUAGUCAUAUUGUAUUCGAUUUGACGCCAAAGGUUCAACAUAACAAAAGCAUGCAUGCAAACCACUAUUCAAAAAUAAAAAAUAGCAACUACAUGCGUCAAGGCUGUCAGCAAAGAUCAUUUUAAAAGGAUGUGCGCCUGUGUGUAGCAAGGGCAUCUUGACUAUAACUUGGUAAGUUCCACAUUUUUUUUUUCCAACUGAACAAAUUGAAGAGUACAGGAAACCCUAGAUGCUUGAAUGUUAGACAGAUCAAGAGCUACAAUAUCUGGGGACAUGCUAUCAAAUGUAGAAUGGAAAGAAAGUUCCCUUCUCUUGAUAUGAAUCACAAUAGAACCAGAAGAGUGGCCAAUAACAUGUCAAUGAAACAUAUUGUUAAAGUUGGAUGCAUAUAUGACAUUACCGAAAAAAGUCAUGGAGAUUUACAAAAAACCAAACAGGUUAAACCAAUAUACGAGCAAACCCACAUUAAGAUUAGUUGUAACAAAACGAAUCCACAUUAAUAUAAGUUGCAGAAAAAACAGAAAUUGGGGGAACUCAAUCAAAUGUAGAUUAAAAAAGGUCGUACCCAGUGCACAAGGCUCCCGCUUUACGCAGGGUAGUGUGAAAAUUAAACUGCAUGAGUACUGGCUAGAAACACAAUUGUGCAAUCAAUUAGGGCAAGAUUCACCUGCAGCUUAUGGUUAUCACCAACAAUAAGUGGUCGCUGGUUGACACCAAGGAAAAACAUGCAUUCGCGGCAGUUAGCAAUGCAGAUUCGAUUUGCUGCUGUAAUCACAUGAACUCGCUCACAGUGUUCGAUUCUAACAGCCUGUAAGAGACAUUAGACAUCUAAGCUAUAAGAUUCAAGUUAACCAGGUGACACAACUACCGAUGUUCAUUGCAUACAAAACAGUAAUUAGUUGGCCACUUCACAUGACAAUAUACAGACAUUGGACUAAUUCAAAUGUUCACUAAAGGGCAAAACAUCAGGCCUAAUUAGACGUAACAAAAGUUAUUACAUUUGAUUAACCAAACCAUUAUGUAAAAUCUGUAACUUAAAAAACAAGUUGUGCAAGAACUUUGAUAAAGCUUUGCAUAACCACCACAUAAGAAGCAUAUAGGUAAUUCACAGGAACACCAGUCAACUCAUCAUUUCACAAACAAAGAUCAAGAGUAAUUAUCUGUAGUUGUUAGAGAGUGAUUCAACCCAUUAUACAUUCUACCAGACAAACAAAAUUCAAAAGCCUUCUUUUUCAUUGUGUUAUAAACUUGCAUGAUCAUUUCAUUGACUUUCAGAAGUCAACUGCAAACUUUGUAUUUGUGAUAGGAAAGGGUAAAAAUGAGUGCCAAAAGAAAGUGACUUGGCAGGCAUAAGCUUAGUGGGAAUGAAAUGCAACAUGACUACUUGCAAAGUCGAACUGAAGUUAUCAGUUAGUAGCAUUACCGCAAUACAUCAAGUAACCAAAUUCUACCAUCUUAUCUGAUACCAAAUUUUUAAAGAUGAAGGAUAAACAAAUCCACAGAUCUUUACAGACCACAAGUCAAUCAUUCUGAUAUGUUUAAAUUUACUAGAGAUAGAAAAGUAUUUCCAAUUCUACUAUCAACAUCAGUACCACAGGUAUAACCUUUUCAGUAUCCAACUAUAUAUUAGGGAAUAAUUACAGAUAUCACAGCAACAGUCAAUAUCCAAAGCAUAAAUACAAAUGUCUUUCCUAUUACCUUUCCAACAGCUCCAAGAACAAUUGUAGCAUCAGAGCAUCCAUAAACUGUGGCAUAUCUCAGAGGUGCUAAUAUGUAGAUAACUGAAUCGUGGCAAUUUAAAACCUGAAAUUGCAAACAAGUUACUACCAAGCCAAUAUACCUCUUAGAAGAAACACUCCUAUUUUAGUUCACCGCUUUUAUGCACAAAGCAUGUAAAGGAACAUGUUGAGAAAAGAUAACAAUAAAGCUGACAACUUGACAAAUUGAUUAACCAAGUGCAUUAUUAAGUUCAAUGAUCUUUAUAAUUAAGAUUAGGAUUAAACUGAAUGAGCAGCUACCUCCCUUCCUUAAAUGCAUAAUGGCAGGACUCAGCAAACUCCAAACUUAAAAUAAAUACAUAAAUAAAUAAAAGUGAAAAAUGCAUCGAUGGAACAGUUAGCCAAUUUGGAAACCAAAAUAUAGCAUAGCAAAACCUUCAAUCGAUCACACAUAUAACACAACAGGUGCAUUCCCACAGCCCCAAGAGUGAAUCCCCAAUGUGGCAUGCAAUAAGUUAUUAGAAGCUCAAAGACAUAAUGACUUGAUUCUUGUGUCUUAUUAAUAAUUGGGUUCUCCUCAUUUCCUUCUUUCUGGUUCUAGCUCCUGAACUUCUAGAAGCGUUAAAAUAUGAAACAUCCCGUAAAUGUAGAACAGACAUCAGAGGAAAAAAGAAUAGAUUUUACAUUUUUAUAAACUACUUACAAGAAACCAUAAAAAUAUGUCUUAUCAUUCAUGAACCAACCUUUACAGAAGAACCUUUAAGAUCAGAUGUUCGCUUUACAAGUGAUGACUUGGAGAUCCCCUCAAUAAAACUUGGGCCUCUGACACUUGAUGAGCCCUUGUUUGAACUCGUGCAGGCAUCAGCCAUAGGAACAUCUUGGUCUGAGGAACUGGGUGGCCCGUUUUCUUUUGGAGAAAUCCUUUCCGAAAUAUGUUCCAAAGAUGAGACCAUAUUCUCUAGAACCCAAUCGUGAACUUGCGCUGCAGGAACAGGAACAGCAGGCAUAUCAGGAUCUGAAUUUGCAAAAAAAGGAGCGUGUUGGCUGAAUUGAUUUCCUUCAGAUCCUUUGUCACCAAAGUGAAGCAGAAACCCAAGGUGCUCAAAUUUCUCCAUGGUCAAAACCUAUAAAGGGUUAAAUCAGAUCAUUAAGUGGGCUUGGGAGAUACCAACAAAAAAGAUACAACUACAAACUCCAUAACAUAAAAUAAAAAUAAGAAAUCAGCACCGGUUGUCCAUGAUAAAAAUACAAGGAGACAUUAGUUAUUGUGGCCAACUUAUUGUCAUCCAGAUUAACUGUUCUGCCAGUACCUUCUUUAUCAACUGCAAUGGCCACCAAAAGAAGAGGAAAUGUCUAUCCUUCCUUUUGCGACUUUAAGACGCAGCAACAUGCUAACCAUGUGUUGGAUUUACUGAACUGCAUUUCCAUUCCAUUAAAUCUGUCCUACUUUACGUCUUUUUAGAUUAAUAAUAAUCAAACUUCAGUAUGUUUCAUGCAAUUGGAAUGUAGAAUGUAUGGUUCAUGGUUCACACUUCAAACAUCCCAUAAAGAAAUCACUUCCCACAAAUACAAAUGUUCAUAAGUGAUGAUAAUUGGUGUUGCACUUAUGACCGAACCAAAGCAUGAAUUAAGGAUUUGGGUGGUGCUCACAGUACGAAUGGUGUUUUUCAAUCAAAUUGGAGAAAAGUACCAGCAACUAUUAUCUUUAAUACAAUUUACUUUUUGGUAGCCAAAAAGGUGAAUAAUUGACUCAACCAACAAAGAUUUAAUAAUUUCACAUACCAGAGAUUCUUCUCCUUCCCCCUCCACAGAUUCUGCUAAUAAAGAGACAAGGUUGGCCAAAUGCUUUUUCAAAUAUGAUAACUGAUGUGCCUCUUCAUCAGCCUGUGAUGGCAUAAACCGACGGCUAUUGCUACGCACAAGCUGUCAUGUGUUGGAAUUCCAAGGUUGAUAUAAGUUUAAUCCAACAAAAUAAAUGUCUCAAAUCAAAGUUCCGAGCAAUUAAAUAUAAAAAAACGAAAAGUUUCAGGACACAAAUGUUGCAAGUUAAAUAGUAUUGCCCAAAUUCUGAUACUGAAAAAUGUUGUACUAUGUACUACAAAAAUUCAUCCAAGUGUAAUCAACUCAACAAAACCCUUGCUCUAAAAGUUUAUAAUCAACCUCGUGAUUACCAUUUCGCAACACAAAGAGUACAUAAAGCUAAUUAAACCGGGGUGGACACAAUGUAGCACUGUCAUUCCAAAUGAAUCUAAACAUACACAUCCUGGAAGAUAAAACUAGGUGGUCCGCUCACUACAAGCCAAGAUUAGGUACUUGAGCAUUUUACGUUUAGUGCAAUUCAAUCCAACAAUGUAGCAGACAAUGCAACGAAUUGUUACAACCCCCACCCCAAGCACGCAAUUGAUCAAAACUCCAACCAAAACACAAUGAGAAGUAAGAUUAGUCAAAUACUAACCACAAUAAGUUCAAUAAUGGAUAGAUCAAAUGGAAAUAUAUUCCAUUUCAAUCCACAUUGUAUUCCAAUACUAACGAACACACACAAAGUCAAACAAUUGACCUGAAUAAUCCCAUUUUCUACAUUGCAGCAAUCUCAUGUCAAGAAAACCAGCGUCUUGAAUAAAAUUGCCAACCUUUUCAACUUAAUUAACCGAAAUCUAACCAAAACCAACCGGCAACCAAAUUAAUUAAUCGCGGCAAACUCCAUUUCUAAUCCACACGCAUUGCACAAUGCACCACCAAUUAACUAAAGAAAGAAAACAAAGAUCAAUUAAGGGACAGCUUCUCACCUGCAAUGGCGACAAAGCGGACAGAUACCCAUCGAAAGCCGACGUCGAAGGCCAGACAUCGGCGACGGCAGCCGAGUCCUUGUGCGUCCGCGGCAGCAACUUCUUAUACGACUGAAUGUAGAGGAACAGAACCAGAUCAUGCACAUCGGCUCCAGCCUCGUCAAUCCCAUCUGGCUUGGCUUUCACGAGCGGGUCGGACUCCGAGUGCAGAACCGACGCUAGGGUAUCGAGGACGAGCUUCGCCUGAUCAAUGGAGAUCUGGAGAGCCUCGGAGAUCGCGGCCGAGUCGACCCGGUGACUGGGCGACUUCUCGAUCAGCUUCUGCUUCAGCGGAAUCAGGGUUUGGGUCGGGUCGGUGAAGAUUAGCUUGGGGAUGGGCAGCAGCCCGUGCUCGAACGGCUCGCGGCGCGGGUGAAUCAGGAGGGCCGGGUCCUUGGCCGAAGACGACGUCGUUGCGGGCUCAAUUGGGUCGCUCAUGGCUUCUUUUCUCAGGAGGCAGCAAAACGCAGAGUUUUUGUGUAGACAGAGAGAUUUGUGAGUUGCAGAUCUUCCAGAAAUGAAUAACGAGAGAGAGGUUGAGGAGAGAGUGAGGGAAUGAUCCGGUGCGAUUCGGUGCACGGAAGGUGAACCGCGUGGAUGUGUUAAUUGGGAGUUGGGUUGCAAUCAUCAGUACGUAUUUUUCAAAAACAAAAAAAAUCAGCUGCUAGUUUUGUCGCGGCAGUUCAUUCUAUCAGGUUGAAAAAAUUCAUAUAGGUAUUUUAGCCUUCUUUUGAUUAAUAAUGUGUGAUUUAUCAGUACUAAAAAAUCAAACUCAAAAUAUACCGUGUAAAUACAUCUUGAAAUUCAUACUUAACUACUGAAUCACCCUCUGACUAUCAUCAUUACGUUGAAUUGUGGCUAAUUCCAAGAGGUUAGUGGAGAAGAAGUGGAUUAAAGAGGGGGCCGUGGCCCGUAAUGCAUCGGACAUGUGUAUGACCAUUUUAAAUGACAUCAACUAAAUUAUCGACAGCUAUGAUUUUCUUUAAUCUUUUGACCAUAAAGUUGCAAGGAUUUCAAACGUCUUAAUGUAUUAAAAAUGUCCCUCUCUAAUUUCGUUAAAUCUAAAAUUGCCCUCUUAGACCAUCUCCAACCCUGGGUUAAAAGCCAAAUUACCCCCCAAAUUACUCUCCCAAACACUCUCCAACCCAUGCUAAAAUUUUAGGCUAAAUGCCAAAUGCUAUUUCUGGGCCAAAUACCCCUCAACUUUCCCCCCGGGCUAAAUGCGAAAUGUUUAUCGGAAUUUAAAUUUUUUUAGAUCAAAAUGUUCAUAAAAUUAAUUUACAAUAAUCUACAUAUUUAUUUUUUUUUUUUAAAUUGAUUUAAGAAAAAAAUUUAGGCUAAUUUCAUUAUUUAAUAAUUCCGGGCUAAAAUUUUAAGGUAGAAGGGUUGGAGCAGAAAAGAUGUUUCUGGGCUAAAAGCUAAAUUUUCCGGGCUAAAAAAUUUGGCUUUUAGCCCAAGGGUUGGAGAUGGUCUUAAUGAAACCAGAAAAAACAUUAAAAUUACGAAGGUGAAGUGUUGAUUUAGUUUUUGAAUUAUCAUCUCAGUGAAAAUUAAGUUCCUGAAUUAUUUUUUCGGUAAAAUAAGUCCCUAAAUUCAUUAAAAAUUACUAAUUUCAUCCCUACAAUUAUAUUCAAAGCUAUUUUAUCUAGUUUUUCUUCAACUUAAGUCACUAGACAUACUUUAGAACGUAAUACCAUAAUUUUCUCUCCUAUAAGACCUUAACAUUACAUAUAGGUUGAGAAUCUAACGUCUAAUUGACCCUCCAAAUUUAACUCGAUACACUAUUUUUUUAUGAAAAAUUACCAAUCUACCCUCCAAUGUGUAUCACAUGCAAGUAACGUGACUUAAAUUGAAGGAAAAUUGAAUAUAGUAGCUUCAAAUCUAAUAUUAGGGAUGUAAUUGGCAAAUAAUUGAUUUUUCUGAAGAAAAAAAAUAAUGUAGGGACCUAGUUUUCACUAAGGUAAUAAUUCAGAUAUUAAAUUGGCAAUUCACCCAAAUUACAAUUGUUACAGAAAUAAGAGAAAAAAGUAAAAACAACGCUAUAAUGUCCUUUACGUUUUCAGCAUUCACAACACAAAGUUUGCAAUUACACAUAGAGGAAAAUAAAUGCGGACUCGAACAUGGAGGAAGCAGUUUUGCGAGAGAGAAAUAUAGAACAAUUCAUAUGACAAUCUCAUUGAGGGUGGAUAGUUAUUCAAGGAUCAUGUUUUUUGGGAUAAGACGAAGUAAUAUGCCGCUCGAAUUUUUUUAUGUGGGAGAAUUCGGCUCCAUAACCGCCAUAUGGUGUCGGAGUUGUUCUGAUUCAUGUGUGGAACAUUAGGAGUCGUCCCAACGUACGUAUUUAUCUAAAAUUUACUUAUACGGCAUGCCCCAUGUCUUGUUACGGGCUAAUAGUAGAGGAUGACAAGUGUGGGCUACCAAGGUUUUGGUAGUGACUUUGUUUUUAGCUUGUUAGAGUGGUCUUGGUGUUGGCUGGAAACCUUAGGCUAGCAGUUAAUGAAGCCAUUAUGGAGUGUAUCCUGAAAUAAUAUGUUGUUCUAGCAUGUUGUGCGCCGUUUUAUAUGAGUUCGGAGAAAGAAAUUGAAGAAUUCCGCGGAGAAUUUCAGCAAGCUCAACGAGUGGUAAAAUUUCGAUAAAGUUUUCCACGUAGCUCCGAAUCACAUUCGGCAAAAUUCUAUAGAAAUCUAACAUUUGUAUAUUCGUGAUAGCAUAUAGCAUUCUGAGAAGGUACAGUUUAAACUUUCAAUUUGGUAGUGCUGUUGCGACAUGCUGGUUAGGCUGGUUUAUCGUUCAGCUUCUUUGCAUGCUAGAUUUGAGACUAAUAUGUCUUGUGGAAAAUUAUGGAAAAAUAAUAACAUCAUUGUAAAUGUAUUUCUUAGCUUGCCAGGGGUAUAAGGAACGCCAUUUGGAAAGAAGUCGAGAAGGCUUAAAAUCUUUGUUUUCCCAUAUAUGUGCAGCUUUAAAGGGAAUGCAUUUUUUACUAUCUUCGUUCGAAAAAAAUUGAAGGAUAACUAUGACGAAAAGUCUGAAAACUUGACACAACGAUCUUCAAUGCCUUAUGAUUCUUUCCCAACUGGUUGUGCGUUAAUAUUCAUUUGGAAAUUCAACUUUCUGGUAGAAAUCAUUUAAGUGCACAAAAUGGGUUUUAAGGCAUGACCACCUUGCUCCCAUAGCUUUGUGAGAACUUGCCCCAAUCGGAGUGUUGAUCAACAUGGAUUGAGUUGCAUAUUUAACUAGUUGUAGACUUCAGACAAUAGGUUUGCGAGUUGAAUUUGUGAUGCGGUGUUGGUCCGCACAGAGCCGAACCUGCAUUUUCGACCUGACUUGGAAGUAUGGUUGUCACUCCAUCUUAAAGUUCAUACUUGUAAGCUUUUUUUAACCUGAUCAUUCAUGCAAGCUUCUUUUGGAAUAAGCCAAGUCCACUUUUGCUACUCCAUGUCUUGUGUGCUAGCGAGUCUUUCCAAACUAAGCAUUUUAGUCGAAGAUUGUGUCGCAAAAUGGUGCUCCAUGUGUUGGAUCUUAUGCCGAUGGUGUUGCUCAUGGCAGAUGUCGUUGGCCAAGGGAAUAUGAUUCUUCUUCUAGGGAAAACACUAGUUGUUGGAACCAAAUUUGCACACAUCUGUGGAUAGAGACGGUAUCGAAAUCACUCAUUAACUCUGCCAAGGGGUGAAUGGGGGGGGGGGGGGGGGGAGGGGUUCAUUAAGAGGUGUGAUUGAUUAUGGUUCGGGCUUCCUACAUAUCUUUGUGGUUGGAGAAUCAAAUCACGUGUAGUUCUAAGAAAGAAGUGGUGUGAUGUGUGCUACAUCGUGAACCAUCCUUGACAAAGAUCCCUAACUUAGGCAUGUUGGAGAUGUUUCUCCAUGUCUACCGUCUACGCGUAGAUGAAUGGAGUGUAGAGAAUAUGUUAGCCUAUGUUAGGCGUAGAGAGAAUGUGUGUUGUGACUAUUAGAUGAUCAAAAAGAAGUCUGGAAAUUAAAACUAUGUUUGGAUGAGGGAAAUAAACUUGGAAUUUCAAUAAAAGUUAGAAUUUUAUAAAUUAACAUGCACCAAUUCUCUUGUUUGGCUUCAUAAACAUAGAAAUUUCGAAUUUCCACGUGGAAAAAAAAAACUUGGAAUUUGGGACCUCCAAUUCCCAAUUUUAAAUUCCAUGUAAAUAUGUGUUAUUUCCCAAUUUCUAUGAUUUAAGAGUUUAAAAAUAACAAAUUUCGUAUUCAAUUCCAUUAUUCUUUUAGGUUAAUCAAACAAGAAAAUUCACAAAUUCUAUAAAAUAAAUCUCGUCAUUUCAAUUUCCAUCAUUUUAAAAUUCCUUAGGGAUCUUAAAUUUGUUCAUCCAAACAGAGUGUAAAGAGAUUCCCCUAGAUAAAUACCUAGCCUGGACAUUUAUAAAGGUCUUGAGAGAAUAAUCCAUACUAAAUCGGAAAACUAUUUAUGAGGAAAUUUAGGAUAAGCAAAGAGAGCAAUGGGAUCUUUAUUCUAUAAAAGGGAUCCUUCACUUUCACUGGGAAGAGAAGCAAAGAGAGCAAAGGAGGGCAGAAAGAAGAGCAAAGAGAGCAAACCCUAGUCUCUAUAGCCUCUAUGUACAUUGUAACCUUCAUUGAUAUAGUGAAACCAUAUUGACACCAAUGUGGACGUAGCCCCAACUUAGGGUGAACCACAUUAUAUCUUUGUGUUCUUGUGCGUUUGUGUGAUUCACGGUCGAAUUUAUAUCGGUCCAAGUUCGACCCAAUUUUCUGCAUCAAUAAUGUCCAAUCCUUCUAGAAUUAUGAUUAUGUUGCCUAAUCCCCAAGGUAUCCAAAUUCGACAUGAAUUUGGAUUUUCUUACUUGGGAGACAACUAAUACUUAUAAUGGCGUUAAGCCUAGCCUGUCAGACUAAGGUUGUCUAACUACAUGUUCCAACUAGUUAGCCUGUUGGAAUAUCUUACUCCAAUUUGACUAGGAAACUUGACUAGUUUGAUUGUUUGAGCUCCAUGGGCUAUAGGCAUUAUGGUCAUUCUCGCCACUCGGGUGCUAAGUGUUAGAGGCGUAAAAUUCAUGGUUACACAUAGCCGAUUUCUACAAAACUACAACCUCAAACCACUACCAAUAGAACCAGUGAAACCUGUGGAGUGUAGUUGUUGUUUUGCAUGUGGGUUUGGAUGUCAGGAAGUUGAUAGACUCAAGAACUUUAGUUCACCAAUCUCUCUAACGAAUUUCGGUUGAAACACGAUGAAAUGGCUAACUGCUUCCAAGUGUAAAAAGCAUGGGUUGCAUGUUGUUUAUGAAUUGAAAUCGAGAGUUUUAACUUAUGUGUACCUAUAUGUUCAUUUCCCCAGUUUUUUACAAGAGAAAACAACCAAAUUUCAACGAGUUUGUUGAAGAUCUUGAAGUCAAAUGAUUAUAUAUAGGUUCUACUAAGUAUUUCAGACCUUUUGUGAAGUUUUGGGUGGAAAAUCCAUCAAAAUGAGCUAAUUUGGACUUUUGAAAUAAUUUAUGGAAAUUCUACAGAAUUUGCUCGAAGAUUCCUAUGGCGGAGCAUGGCAGUGGACUUAACGACAUUAACAUCGAUAGCGGCGGAAUCCGUUAGUUCUAACGAAAUCAUUGAUGACAAAGGUAAAUCCUGUCAACUUCUCCUGUUUGCAUGCACAAGCACGUUUACUCACCUCACUCGUGAGUAAGUGUGCACUAGGUGGCACGUGGCAAUGUCUGCAAUGACGUACUCGCCGACAACAGCUGCAAUGAUAGUGGCACCAACAACCAGAUGACAUAUGGCGGCUUGUGACCAUUUAUAUUGUGGAGCGUGACGGCUUGUGAUGUGGUGCGUAAGGACCUAAGACUUAACCUAAGGUUUGUCGACAUUUUAAAUCACAUCAUGCACUCCAUUUUUACUAAUUCGGAGGCAUUUUCUAGAAUAGCAUCACCGUUUCUAGAAAAUCGUAUCAUUGAUUUUAGAAACAAUGUGACCAUUUCCAGAAGUAUUGGCACUAGGGGUGGGCAGGGGCCGGGCCAGGCCCAAAUUUGAAGGGACCAGACCGGAUCCGGGUGCAAAAGAGACGGGUCGGGGAUUACAUUUUCUUAUAUAGGAACCAGACCUUACUCGGCUCGGUUGAAACGAGCCGGAUCGGGUCGGGUCCAAGGGUCUUUUUUUUUCGAAAAAAAAAAACUAGAAUUUGCAUUGAUUGCACAGUUUCACCAGUGCAAUAGAUUAUGCAUAGGAAACCCAAAUUAUGCAAUAGGGAGCCCAGAUAAUGUAAUAGGAAAUAUUUCAAAAUAUUUCCAAUUCCAAAUGCACCCACUUCCUUAUAAAAUCUUGAGCAUAAACAUCUUCGAACAAAGCAGAUCAAGACUUAGUAGAUUAAUACUCACAACAGAAACCCAGAUAAUAUAAUCCACAAAAAAUUGAAGCACAUAGCUAAAUUAACAAAGUUUAAAUAUUUAGCAGGUCAUUAGGUAUAUAGGCAUCACAAGAAAUCCAUGAUAAAUACGAAUAGAUCUCGAUAUGAAAGCCCUAAUACGAAGCUAAGAGUGACCUAACACAUAUGAUGGCCAUUUCAAAACUUGUAACACAUACAUCAAAAUUCCUAACAACCAGUAAGUCCUCACGUAUGUGCUUCUGCAAGAUAUAGAAAGUAAUGAAAUCUAGAACAGAGUAUCCAAAACAUAAAUAAUUCACCUAUACAAAUCACACCAGAAUGACUUACUCUUUCAUCAAGAUUACUAAGAAACUUCACAGCACGCAAGAUGGGGCAGAAAAGCCGAAUCUCAUUCAUCCAGUUUCCAAGAGUUAACUUUGGAGCAACCACCAUAUGAGGGCCAAUUAUUCCUCUAAACUCAUGCAGGUAUCCCAAUAAGGAGAUGGUUUGCAAUGUUUUACCAAGCCCUUGAUGGAAGAGAACAAAACAUAUUCAUCAUUAAGAUAGCUCACACAAAGUAAAUACACAAUUCAAUACAUGGAAGAAAGGAAAGAUUUAACCCUGUUAGCUGCAAAUCGGUGCUUACCAUUUCAUCUGCAAAGAUUCCAUUUAUUCCAUUUUCAUAGAGUCGUAUGAGCCAGUUCAAACCAGCCAGUUGGUAAUCCCUCAUCUUCCCCUGAGACAAAAGGAAAAAAGAAAAGUCUUAAACCUUAAAUUGUGAAGUACGUCAUUUGAAUACAACCUUCUGAAAGUUAGAGAAAAUCAACUAGAUUUAAGAAAAGUCUCUCACAAGAAGGUUGUGUCAACAACCAUGUGGUUCCAGCCCCAGCCAAACCCUCUUCUUCCUCCUUAAGGCAUUCUUCUUCCUCUUCCUCUUCAGUUAUUUUGGAAGCAUGGUGACCUUUAAAUUUGUGAUUAAACAAGUAAGCACCAGUAAGAACUUUUAAAAUCAUACUUAACUCAUGCAAUAAUCAUAACCAAUUAAAGGCAUUCAUCCUACUUUUUUUAAACAAAAGAAAUUCUAGCUCAAAAAUUCAAUUCCUAUUUAUCUCUUCAAAGAAAAUAAAUUACCGAAGACAAUAAUCAAUGACAUGAUAGUAUAGAUUGAAUACGCAAGACUCUUCAAUGAUUAUUGAACUUACUUUCCCUUCACUUUCUUCUGAGAUGUCGAGCAUGCGCUUGCUGAUCUUCUUGGAGUAAACCUGCAGGAUCUAAAUCUUGUCCUCCUCGAUGAGGGGAGAGGACGACGCACUCGAGAUGACAAAUGAGAGGUGACAAAUCGAGAAGAUAGGUAGUGGGCUGGCUGGGUUCUGUAAGUCUGGUCCCUGGGAUGUCAAAUCGAGACGGUGAGAGAGAGGUGAGAGAGAGGUGACAAAUCAAGAAGAUGGUUGUCGCCUAGGCCGUCGUGCUGUCGGGGUGGUGAAGGGAAGGGGACGACGCAUUGCAGACUACGAGAGAAACUCGAUCGACAAAGUGAGAGUGACAGUCGAAUUCGAUAGGUUGAGGACGAGGAAACCUAAAACCAACGAUUCAGAUUGGAUGGAGAGAUGAUCUCUUCAAUCUCAUCCAUCCAUUUUAACUAAAAACGGGCAAGUCUGGGUACCUGCGGUUCCUAUACUUCAGGAACCGGUUCGAACCGAAAAUUUCAAAGGCCCGCCCCGCCUCGUUUCUGUUUUUACAAAAUAGGAACCGGCUCGUACUCGCCCUGACCUGCGGUUCCUGUACCUGUUUGCCCACCCUUAAUUGGCACGGUUUCUAGAAAUAACAUCACCAUUUUUAGAAAUAGCAUCACUGUUUCUAAAAAAAGUGUCAUUGUUCUUAAAAAACAAAAUAAAAAGAACAAAAAGAAACUACUAAUAUAAUAAGAAAAGGGCUUGAGUUUUCAUUAGUUUGUUUAGAAAUUAUUGUUGUUAAGAAACAAUGUUUCAUAUCAAUAAAAUUUUAUUAAGUAUUUUAAUAAAAAUUUGUUGAUAAUAAAAAAUAAAAUAAAAGGAGGGAGGAAGGAGUGACAUGAGAGAGAAAAGAGAGAGACGAUAGUGAUGGGUGAAAGGAGAAAGAGAUAAUGGUGACAAGUGAAAAGAGAGAGGGAAUUCGGGUGAGGGAUGACGGGAGAGAGGGACGGGGAUUUUUUUUUAUGAAAAUAGACUUAUAUUAAAGCUAGAAACCACAGGAACAACCGGCACCAACCAAAUUGAAAUUUAUGACUGGGCCAACAAAGUUUGGUACAACACCAUCCCAUAUAUGAUUGGAAUGAAGACUAAGCCCAUGUUUAGCAAAAGCAUCCACAACAAAGUUAGUUUCCCUAAAAAUACGCCUCCAAGAGAUGGAUUGGAAUUUUGUUGCCAACUUUCAAAUUUCUACUAUCGCAACCAUUAAGUUCCAGGGGACAGACUAACUACUAAGCACAUAGUGGAUUACUUAUCUUGAGUGGCCUUCCACUUGGAUCUUAAAAACACCUUUUUUUUUAGGGCAACUGAGAGUCCUUUCUUCAGCACCAUAGCUUCUGCCUCAUAUAUCAUAGCUCCAUCAACAUUGAAGGAACCACCACCCAAAACAUUCUCUUGAUCAUUUCUUAACAUGAACCCUGCAGCUGCAUUAUGAAGACUGACUGACCCAUUAAAAUUUUGCUUUAUAAAAUUAAGGUUAGGAGGGUGCCAUUUAAUGUUUAUAAGCUAAUCUGGGGUUUUUUUUUUAUUUUCUUGAAAGAAGGAGUUCCCAGAGAGAAAGCAAGAGCCCUGAUUCUCACAUGGUAAAUAAUAGUACCUACGAAAUGUUUAUUGUUUCUGUCAUUCCAUAUUUGCCAACAAAGAAUCAAAACCUAGCUUAACUUGCAAAGUUUGUCAGUAACAACAUAACCAAGAUUAGAAAGCCAAUCAAUAACCCUAUUGAAAUCAGCAUUUAAAUCACUUGGCAUAAUAAAAUUACAAGUAUGCCAAACUAACUUUGCAAAAUCACAAUUAAAGAAAAGAUGUGUCUGAGUUUCAUCUUCCUUGUUGCAUAAAGGGCAUUUAAGAUCAAUGUUUUGGAUGAACUUACCGAGCCUUCCUUUAGUUUGAAGUCGAUUAUGUAGGAACAUCCAUUCAAACAUUUUAAAUUUAAAGGGAAGUUUUAACUUCCACAUUCGUAAAAUCAACUCACCCUUGACAUCCAGAUUCCAACAAUUGUUUUGAUUCCAUAUAGCUGACUUAACUAAAAACAACCCAUUUUUAGAGCUUCCCCAAAUAAGCGUAUCCCUGCUUUCAUCUUGAGGAAUGACAAUAUUAUAAAUUAUCUGACCAAUCUCUAGGCUAACAAGAUGUUCAAUCUUAUUUAUAUCCCAACACUUGUUUAUAAUGCAAUCAUUAACUGGAAGAUUUCAAUUGAUAUUAGCAUGUUGAUCUUCAGGGAUGAGACGAGAUAAAGGGUAAGGAAAAACCUAAUUGUCACAUCCUAGUGUCGGCUCCGCCAUAGCACAAUAUUGUCCGCUUUGGGCCCUAGCCACGUCUUCACGGUUUUGUUUCUGGGAACUCACGAGAACUUCCUAGUGGGUUACCCAUCCUAGGAUUGCUCUCACCCAAACUCACUUAACUUCGGAGUUCUGAUGGAAUCCGAAGUCAAUGAGUUACCAAAAGGUCUCGUGCUAUAUGGAGGUGGGCAUGUACAUAUAAGGCAUAUCACCCCAUCUCCGUUGGUUGAUGUGGGAUGUUACAAUCCACCCUCCUUAAGGACCCGACGUCCUUGUCGACACACUCACACCACACGGCAGAGUGACUCUGAUACUAUUCUGUCACACCCCAGCCUCGGCUUCGUCAUAGCAUGAUAUUGUCACCUUUGGGCCCCAGCCAUGCCCUCACGGUUUUGUUUCUGGGAACUCACACGAGAACUUCCCAGUGGGUCAUCCAUCUUGAGAAUUCUCUCGCUCGAACUCGCUUAACUUCGGAGUUUUGAUGGAAUUUGAAGCCAAUGAGUUCCCAAAAUGUCUUGUGCUAUGCCGAAGUAAACAUGUACAUAUAAGGCACAUCAUCCCUUCUCCGUUGAUCGAUGUGAGAUGUUACACUAAUUGUGGGACCAAAACAAGAUAUCUUGACCAUUACCCACCAUCCAUCUCGAACCCUUGGUUAAAAUAUCACGACAAUUGAGAAUGCCUUUCCAAGCUAGAUAGUAGUAUUGUCUUAUCUUUUUAUUCAUAAACUCUUCUUGUGUUAGGUAUUUCAUUUUAAGUAGUUGCACCCACAAGUUGUCUUCUUCCAUUAGAACUUUCCAGCCUAACUUUGCAAGGCACGCAUAUAAAACGAUCAAGCUUUUUAAUACCUAGACCACCAUCCCAUUUACUCAUACAAGCCCUAUCCCAAGAGAAAGGAAGGAUUUUUCUUCCUCUACCCCAAAGGAAAUCCCUGCAGUCGUUAUUUAAUUUAUGCAUUACUCUUGACAAGCAUUUGAAACAAGACAUAACAUGAUUAGGCAUUCCAGAAAGGGUAGAUUUAAUAAGAGUUACUCUCCCCAUCUUUGAUAAAGUAUUAGCUUUCCAUCCAGAAAGCUUUUGUUUAACCCUUUUUAAAAGUUCAUUUUUCAUUUAAAGGGUCAUUCCAUAAAACAAUAUUAUGAAUUCCAAGAUAUUUUCCAAUAGUUGUUUUAUGUUGUAUAUGGAGAACUUGAACUAUAUCAUUUCGGAGUUGGGACGACGUAUUAUGGGAGAAAUAUAAAGAAGAUUUAUGAAAGUUUACUUGUUGUCUUGCAACCCUAGUAAACAUAUUAAGGAUACUGAGAAUAUUUCUGGCACCUUUAACAGUGGCUUUGGCAAACAAUAAGUAGUCGUCAGAAAAUACUAGAUUAGAAAUUUUAAAAUCCCUUGGUGAAGAAAGGAUACCCACAUGAGAUUUUGGGUUGGACGCAAUCAAACUUAGAUACCUAAUUAGGGGAUCUAUGCAUAAGAUAAAAAUGUAAGGAGAUAGAGGGUCACCUUGCCUAACAUCCCGUGUCUAUGUGGAACACCAUUGAUAAGGAUCGAAAAAGAUGUUGAGUAAUACAUGUCAUAAUUAGAGUAACCCUUUUGUCAUUUAAACCAAAUUUUUGUAGCACAUACCUAAUAUUGUCCCAAUUGAGGAAGUCAUCAUAAGCUUUUUCCAAAUCAAGCAUGAUCCCAUCACCCCAAUCCUACCCUUCUUCCUUUUAAGCAAACAUUUCAUGGGCAAUAAGUGUAUUAUCCUGAAUUGAACGUCCUGGUGCAAAAACACCUUAAUUUUUGGAUAUACAUUUAUCCAAUAAGGGCUUAAGCCGUUGAAUUAGGGUUUUUUUAUUUUUUUUAUCACAAAUGGUCCCUGACCCUCACCCUCAAGAUGGUCCCUAAAAUUAAAAAUCAAUCAAUAUAGUCCCUGAAAAAAAGUGUCGCAAAUCAAUGUGGUCAUUCCGUCACAAUUAUGUUAAAAUUUCCGUUAAAGUGCUAAUGUGGCACAUAUAUGGACCCACAAGAUUUACCGGGUUUUUUUUUCACAAAUGGUGCCUAAAAUUAACCCACACCAUCAAUAUGGUCCAUGAAAUUGAAAAUCAAUCAAUGUAGUCCUUGAAAAUAGGUGUCACAAAUCAACAUUAUCAUUCCACCACAAUUCUAUAUAAAAAAAUUGUUAUGUGCUGAUAUAGGUUUAAUAAUUAAUUAAAAAAGUUGUCUAAAUACCUUUUUGCACAAUGAGAUUUUUUUUUCUUAUAGUAAGGCCUACUUCUAAGAGAGCUCAUUAUUUCAAGGCAAACCUUGUCGUUCUUUGCAUCACCAAACCAUUAGGGAAACGUCGAACAAACUUUCCAUGAUUAGGGUUAUGAGGAUGUUGAUCACCUAAAUGUUAACGGUGAUGUCCUAGAAAUCGUUGCCAAUGAGCCAAGCUCUCACCAAAACGGAUUUCGAUCUAGGUUCAAUUCGGUGAAGAUUGUCGAAUUGUGUAAACAUGAGUGUAUUGAGAUUUUUUUUUAGAGAAUAAAUAGCGAAUGAGGUAUAGAAAUGCAGACUGAGAACAGAGGUGAUUGCAUAACUGGGUUUUUGGGUUGAGUUUUUUUUAUUAACUAUUAAAUUAUUAAGCCUAUUUGUAAUUUUUUUUAAAAUUUAAUUAGACCUGUGUGACCCAUUUAUGUGUCAGUCAACACAUAACAAAAUUUUUGACAAAAUUGUGACAAAAUGACUACAUUGAUUUGAGACAUACGUGAUGGACUACAUUGAUCAAUUUUCAAUUUAAGGGACCAUUUUGAUGUUGCGAGUCAAUUUCAAUGACCAUUUUGAUGUCAUGGGUUAAUUUCAAGGACCAUUUGUGAGAAAAAAUGACUUAUGAGGCCCAUUUAUGUGCCACAUCAGCAUUUAAUAGAUUUUUUAAUAGAAUUGUGACCAUAUUGAUUUGUGAUACCUAUUUUUAAGGACUACAUUGAUUGAUUUUCAUUUUUAGGGACUAUCUUGAUGGUGAGGGUCAAUUUCAGGGACCAUUUGUGAUAAAAACCCUUAAAAGAUCUUGUUGGUGUGAUCUUUCCGUCACAAUUCUAUUAAAAAUUCCGUUAAACACUGAUGUGGCACAUAAAUGGUCCCACAAGAUUUCCGGUUUUUAUCACAAAUGGUCCCUGAAAUUGACCCAUACCAUCAAGAUAGUCCUUGAAAUUUAAAAAUGCCUGCACAUGAAUGAACUUGAUCAUUGUCCGAAGUGUUUUGAUCACACUUCCAGCUAAUUUUGACACAUUUCCCAAAAUCUGGGUGUUGAAGCCACAUUUCUUCCAACUUGAAUUGAAAUGGUUUUUUCUGUUUCAACUCAUCAUUGGUGGUUAAAAUAUUAUGGCUAUGAUCAGAUCCAAAGAUUGGGUAAUUAUGCAAAUUUGCAUCACAAAAUUCAUUAAUCCAAGUUGGGUUAGCAAGUGCUCGAUCUAAUCUUUCAAAGAUAAUCAAAUCAUCCCUAUGACCAUUAGUUCAAGUAAAAGGAACUCCAGUUGCAGGUAAAGAAAGAAUGUUCCAUUGAUGAAAGCAUUCAUAUAAGUGGUGGUUACUCUAUUACCUCAUAGCUUUUCAUUAAUAGAAAUAAUGUUAUUAAAGUCUUCCAUCAAACACCAAGGUUUUAACCCUGGAUUGAAACUCAGAAUUUCCUCCCAAAGAAGAUUUUGUAAAUAUUUUUUAGGGUAGGCAUAAACAAAACUUAUAAAGUGGACUAAGUCAUUGCUAGUUUCUUUGACCUCACAAUGAAUCAACCGAGAACAAGAACUAAUAACAUUAAUCAAAAUUGCAGAGGAAUUCCAGCAUAAACAAAGGCCCCUAGAUCUUCCAACACGAUAACAGCAAAAACCUUAUCAAAAUAUCUAGAAUAGAAAUUAAAUAGGGCCUUAUCCAUCUUCACUUUUGGUUCCAUUAAACAGAAAAUGUCGAGCCUAACUAGAUUACAAAGGAAAUUAAAAUUACUACUAAAAUCUUGAUGACCCCACCCUCUGUAAUUUCACUAUAAGCACUUCAUCAGUCUAUCUCAUAGAGGUAGCUAGCUCCCUCUUGAAUUACUAUCUCCUCACGGACACGCUUCUUUGGACUCCACCCUCUAAUUCUAGACAUAGUAGGUGGUGGCAUAUGUCCCUCUACAGCCAUGGUAGUUGCCACAACAUCCCUAGAAGACUGUUCCAUAUCCACAGCCCCCUGAGUUCCCAUCACAGGUCUAGAAUUUGAGUAAUCACAGUAACACACAGCAAGCAUUCAUAAGAGAAACACACAUAGUCAUACGUCACUAAAUACAUAUAAAACACAUCACAAUCCAUAAUAGAGUUAGAAUAAAGACUUGUAGAGUUAUGAAGUUUAGGGUUCUUCUCGUCUAUCCCUAAGUAUGAAAUAACAUCAUACUAACUAAACUCACUAAUCGAUUCCAAACACACCGUACCUUAAUCAUGUCAUCUCCACCUCUUGGAGUUCUCCUCCAAUCUUGGACUAAAUCUGCCCUAGGCACCCAUUUGCAUUUGGCUACCUUGCCAACCUUUUUUCCCAAAUCCCUUGGCGUUUUCACUUCACUACCAUCCUCACUGGCAUGCUUCUUCUCCAGAUCAUCUUUCACAUCCUCAUCAACUUUGGUAUCCUCAAGGAAAUAAACGGUUCAUCAUAAAAACACGCUCAAUAAGGAAACACCCAUCUUCCACGUCAUUCACUAUACAAGUGUGCCCAUCCAGCCUUUUCAUGCCACAAUGAUUACACACUUCAAACAACUUCUUAUAGCUAACUAGCACAUGUUGAUCAUCAUCGUCAUUGACAAUCAGGGCUCGCUUCAGAGGGAAUCUGAGAUCCACCUCUACUAGAACCUUGACAAACACACCAUUAAGCCCAAGAGUGAUUUCAUCAACCUUAACAAUAUCUCCUAGUGGUUGAGUAAUAGUUUUGAUAAUAUGUUCCUCCUUGUACUUGACAAGCAAUCUGGGAAGUAUAGCCCAUACCACCAGCUUAAUAAUCGAAUCCAAAUCGCUAAAUUCAGGAGUCCAAUUCUCUAAGAGGAAUAUUUACCCCCUAAUGUAGCAGGGUCGAUGGUUCAGCACAUAUUCGAGGUUAGCAUCAUUCGAAAACUCAACAGCAAAUCAUUUCCUUCCAUAGUGAUCGAGAAAGUAAUUGUUUUCACUUUAUUCCUCCAGAGUUUCCACUUGAUCAAACGGGCCUCUAAAGGCUACGCAAAUAUAUUUCCAUUAAAACUCUAGCCUUCAUAUGCUCCACAUUCAGAUAAGAGCAAAGGGUGGUGUUGACCUUAGUGACACCACGUUCUAUAAUGAAGGCGCUAAAAGCUUUUUCCACUACAAUAUGAUCUUUACCAGGUUGAGGGAUGGGGAAUGGAUUAGCCCAACUAGGAAUGUGUUGGUUAGUGCAAAUUUGAGGUCUCCUAGUGAGGUUGGAGCUAGAAGUGGCAAACUGAGAGUUGGCCAUGGUAACAAAAACUAUCCAAGGAAGGUUUAAGUUAAAAAAAAAAGAAGCUUAAGUGUGAGGUACCAGAGAAUAUAGUCCUAAUAUAAAUAGCAGAAGAUGAAUGGAACCCAACCGUGAAAAAAAGAGAGGAGAAACCUCCCACAGAAGGUUUUCCUUACACAGUUGGUUUCCCUAUCAGUGGUCAUAAUGAAGCUAGUGGGUAGUAAUUGGUUAUCGAAAAAAAUCUCAGAAAAGAUAAUGAUGCAUUUUAAGUAAUCAAGACAAGGCAACCCUCUAAGUAACACAAGCUUAGUGAAUCUAGGCCAAGCAAUUAACACAGACACUUUGAAAAUUUGAGAGAUGAGCCAUAUGUAAUCAAGAAACCCUAAUAAAAAAUAUUUAAAAGCGCAACCAAAAGAGGGUAACCAAUGAGAACCAACACAACUAUCAAACAAACAAUUAUUAGUAAAAGGAUCUAACAAGCAAGCAUGCAAAUAUAAUCUAACAAACGUAAAACCAAUCAAAGUAACUUGGAAUAUCAAGCAACUUCUCACAACAAAACCAAAAUUAGGACUAGACUUAGCGAACCUUAAUGAUUUAACCUAACAAAACACCUUAUCACCCAAGCAAAUUCAAUCAUUGACAACCCUCGAAUUCCUAUGAACAAACCCAGCACAUGACUCAGAGACCAAAAUCAUGCAUCUAAAAAACUUUAAUAAAACCCUAAUAUAGUGGACCACCCCUUAGUUUCAAGCAAAUUAGCUAAACUGUGAUAGCAUCAAAACUCAGCAACCUCUUCUUAACCUUCAAGUUACCAGAUAGCAAUGGAGGAAGAUAGGGAAAAAGAAGAGAGAGAAAUGUUUUUGGUAAUAUUGUAUUGAGUUUCCAAUAUAACUGUUCGAGGACAACCCCACCAAAUUGAUUACAUAUAUGUUUCCACUAACACCAAAUGCUAGCUGGCCAUACGACUAAAACAACUUGAUUACUACUAAUUAAAGUACUAGUAAGCUACUAAUUGCAGUCAAGAUAAUCACAAUCAUAACAUUGCCCUCUUCUUCAGAUAAACCUUGUCCACAAGGUUGUAAUCACAGAGGAAAAUCUGGGAAUUUCUUAGCCAACUCAUCAUAAUCCUCCCAUGUAGCAUCUUCUUCCUUGCUGCCCUUCCAUUGAACGAGUAUCUGCACUCCUGCCCCAUUGCCUUUUUUGUAAACUCGCCUUUGCAGAAUUGACAUUGGUUCCUAAGACUGCAACCCAUCUUCUGUCACCACAUGUAUGACUGUUAGAGGACUAACCCCUAGGCCUAAAUACUUAUUCAAACAGCUAACAUGGAAGACAUGAUGUAUCUUGGAAUCUGUAGGAAGCUUGAGUUUGUAAGCUACACUCCUAAUCCUCUCCACAACUUCAUAACGGCCAUAAAACCUAGGAUGUAACCUGUGAUAAGUAUAUGCAGCUAAGGAUUGCAAUUGGUAGGGUACCAAUUUCAAAUAAACCAAGUCUCCAACUUCAAACACUUUCUCCCUUCUAUGCUUAUCAACUUGUGAAGCACCUAAGAUAGGUCUUCAAGCACCGAUUAACCACCUCAAUUUGUCCAUCACUCUGAGGGUGGUAUCCUGAACUCAUACACAGCUUAGACCCACUCAUUUUGAAAAAUUCUUUCCAAAAAGCACUGAGGAAUACAGUGUCUCGAUCACUCACUAUAAUUGCUGGCAUGCCAUGCAGCUACAAACUCUUGAGCUACCAUAGUUGCAGUAUAUGGAUGUCCAAGAGCAAUAAAGUGAGCAUAUUUCGAUAACCUGUCCACUACCACUAGAAUAACAGACUUGCUUUUGUAGUUGGGUAAGCCACUAAUAAAAUCCAUGCUAAUGUCCCUCCAAACAUGUUUAGGUAUUAGAAGUGGCUGGAGUUAACCUGGUGGUGACAAAGUCUCAUACUUGUUCUGUUGGCACACCCUGCACUCGACUACCCAAGACUUAAUACCUUUUUUCAUUCCCACCCAAUAAAAGCUUAUUUUCAAUCUGUGGUAGGUUUUUUGAACACCUUUAUAGUUGGCCAUAAGAGUGCAAUGAUGCUCUUCAAAGAUCUUGUGUCUCCAAGUUGAUUCAGGACCAAUCACAAUCUGAGCUUUGUAUUUUAAGAACCCAUUAUCAAUGUGGAACUUUGACAACUGGGAAGUGACAGUGUUGGUGUGGAUGGCAGCCCUCAGUUCUUCCUUUUUUUGUCUUACCCACUCAUCUUUUUCCAAUUGGCUCCUCAAAUCAUCCAACCACCCAAAGUAAGGGAAUGUGAUAGUGACACAUUCCACUAACUCUUCAUUGUGGUUUAUAGGUAGUGUAGGGGCACUAGGUACCCUUGAUAGAGCAUCAGCCACCACAUUUUCCACACCUUGUUUAUAUUGGAUCUCAUAAGCAUAUCCCAAUAGUUUUGAAACCCACUUUUGUUGGAAUGGGGUAGUGGCUCUUUGAUUUAAAAAAUAUUCCAAACUAUUGUGAUCUGUUUUGAUGAUGAAAUGUUGCCCCUGGAGGUAAUUUUGCCACUUUUUGAUGGCAUGCACCACAACUAUGAGUUCUCUUUCAUAAGUGGACAGAGCCUGGUUCUUAGGGCCUAAAGCCUUGUUGGAGAAAAUAAUUGGUUUUCCUUGUUGCUGCAAGACUGCUCCUAUCCCAUUUGCAGAAGCAUCAUAUUCUAUAACAAAUGGGAUCGAGAAAUCAGGAAGGGCUAACACCUUAGGAGAUGUCAUGACUCUUUUUAAUUCUUAAAAAGCUGAAUUUGUUGCCUUAGACCAUAUGAACCCAUUUUUUUAAUGAGUUAAUACAGAGGGCAUAUCUUACCAUAGCCUUGUACAAACUUUCUGUAAUAACAUGUCAACCCCAAAAACCCCCUUAGCUCCUUCACAUUCCUAGGGACUGGCCAAUCCAAAAUGGCUUGUAUCUUAGUGGGAUCAGCUACAACUCCAUCACUGGAAACUAUGUGACCCAAGUAUUCAACUUGUUGCUAACCAAAAGAACAUUUAGACUUCUUUACAUAUAACUGGUGCUGCAAUAAUAACUCCAAGGUUUGGUGCGAAUGAGAUAUGUGCUCCUCCCAUGUUUUACUGUAGACUAAUAUGUCAUAAAAAAUACCAAUAUAAACUUCCUGAGAUAGGGUUUAAAAAUAUCUUUCAUCAAGCUUUGAAAGCUUGCUAGGGCAUUCGUAAGCCCAAAGGGCAUCACCAAAAAUUCAUAGUGUCCCUCAUGGGUCCUGAAGGCAGUUUUCUCCACAUCUUCCCCAUGCAUUCGAAUAUGAUGGUAACCCGAUCUUAAAUCCAACUUGGAGAAGUAUCUAGCCCCAAAUAACAUCACCAUCAAGGAUAAAUAUCUUAUCCCACUCAUAGAUGACUUGUUGGAUAAGCGUGAGGGAGGUAAUGCGGAAGGAAUAGUAAAAACCACCUCAAAAUUGCUCAAAACCGUGUGCAGUUCAUUGAAUUGGGAGAGAGUGAGCUCUAAUGUGUCACUUGUUCUAGCUUCUAGAGAAUAUAAAAAUAAUCCCAAGUUUGAAGUGAAGCAUCAUUUACUGAUGUGAUGCACCGAAAUAUCUUGUAUGGAAGAUUGUGAAGGUGCAUAAUGAGUCAAUUUAAAUUGCUGGGGUCCCACUUGAAACUCCAUAGUCAAAUUUUGGAAAUCCCACAAGACUGGACUUACUGUGGAUAGCCACUGGACCCCUAGGACAACAUCAUAACCCCCAAGAGGUAAAACAAACAGAUCACUGUAGCAACCAUAUUGUCCCACUUUCAGUUGAACUUGUCUAUAGCAACCUUGACUUUUUACUCUACCCCCAUCAGCAAUCAUCACCUCAAAGGGCUUUGUAGGUUGAAAUGACCACCCCAAUUGCUUGACUAGUCUAGAGUCAAUAAAAUUAUGGGUGCUUCUAGAGUCUAACAACAUGCUAACAGUAUGAUUAUUAACCAAAACUUCCACCUUCAUAGUUUGAACCGAGGGCUUGGCACUAAUGCCAUAGAAGGCACACUCACUCAUUGCCAUGCUUUGUAACUCCACAGGAAGAGCAUUUGGUUCUUCAUCUCCAAACUCAUUAUCAGAAACUAUAUCCAACAUGAGAAGCUGCUUAUGAGCACAUUUGUGUCCCUUAUCCCACUUAUCAUCACAAAACCAACGCUCACCUCAUUCUCUUUUUCACUGAACCUCCUCAGGUGUUAAUUUCUUAUAAGGUAACGCAGGGACUCGGUUCCGUCCCGGGUUAGGAUUAGGGAAAGGGUUUGGUAUAGCUGGAGGAACAUGUUUAUGGGACACAAUUUUAAGAUCCAUGAGCUUAGCAUCAAUUUUCACAGCAAGAGCAAUGGCAUCAUGCACCGAAAUAGGUUUCAGCAGUUUAACAUCAUACUUUAAUUCACGCUUUAAUCCCCUAAUAAAACAACUCUUCAAUGAGGGCGCGGAGUAACGGGGAAAAUUCGCUGAGGAAUCAUCACCGUUGGUGAAACGGGGAAAAUCCAGAUGAUGCGGCCAUUGAGGGCGCGGAGUGAAACCGCCUCCAUCGAAAGAGUCUCUACGCUGAAAACGUGGAGUUUCAAGAUAACAGAAAUCGUAGUCGUCAGUCACAAACGGAGUAGGAUUCCGCAUCUCGGGUCCUGGAGGAGGUUGAGCGGUAGAAGACCCAACGCCGCCUUGAACUCCAGGGUCACGAUGAAGAUGCUCCAAGAGAAGGGCAAACUUCGUGUCCAAUGAGGUGAAUCUGGCGUCUGAAGCUGCCUGGAUUUGCUAAAGAAGAGCUUCCAGAACAGUUUCCACGGUGGAUAGGCGCGAUUCCAGUGUAGACAUCCAAGAAUUGGUGGUGUGGCAGGGCAUACAAGAGGGAGGCUCAGGAUCGAGAGGAUGAUACCAAUGAUAUCACCAAAACUCAGCAACCCCUUCUCAACCUGCAAGUUACCAUAUUGCAAUAGAGGAAGAUAGGGAAGGAUAAGAGAGAGAAAUGUUUUUUGGUAAUAUUGUAUUGAGUUUCCAAAAUAACUGUUCGAGGACAACCCCACCAAAUUGAUUACAUAUAUAUUUCCACUAACACCAAAUGCCAGCUGGCCAUACGACUAAAACAACUUGAUUACUACUAAUUAAAGUACUAGUAAGCUACUAAUUGCAGUCAAGAUAAUCACAAUCGUAACAAACUGUUACACACUAGCCACCACCAAUUAGCUAACCUAAUAAUCCUCCAAAAACCGAAUAAUCUAAACGCAACUUUACCCUUUGCCGCUGCUGCCCACCAAAAGGGCCAGACUUAAGAACCCUAACCCUAGCUUUCCCAUCUCACAAAAGUUUUUUAUUUUGAAUUCUUUGAGAUGGAGAGGGAUUGGGAAUAUGGGUAAGCCUUUUUAGUUUUUCUUAUCAAUUUUUUAUAUUAAACUUUUGCUCUUUUUCAUUAAAAUUCAAGUCUUUUUUCAUUAAAUAAAGUUAUUAGAUAGUUUUUAGUUAAAAAAUGGGUUUGGGAAUGCCCUUUUUAUUAAAGCUCUCUUAUAUUUAUAGUAGAUGCUACAUAUGCUGGUACUCGCCAGUAUGAUAGAUAGCUAGUAGAUGCUAGCAUCACACAGGUUGAUGUCCGUGUAUACACAAGUGCAUGUACUUGCACUAGUAGAUACUAGUAAUGCAUUGUAGUUCCUCAUGUAUGAUUUCUGAUUUGUGACUGACAUGUAAUUUUCAACUAUAUAUGUAGUAGAUAGUAGUUACUAGUAUGUAGUUUAAAAUUAUACAUGAUUUCUAAAAUGGGCGUUAUAUUGAUUGACUAUGAUUCACACACACUUUAUUUUUCACCCUCAAGAUCUAGUAGGAUGGAAGCUGCAACAAGUGACGACAAGUGGGCUUGACAGUAUUACAUCUCUUAUACGGAGUAGGGUGAUCAUAAUUUUUGUCUUUAUCAUAGUUGUAAAAGCAGUUCUACCCCUAAGACAAAUGCGCCAGCACCCAGCGCAUUUAUUCACUCAGUAAAUAAUGAUAGACUCCAAUGAACAAUAAUAGGCCAAAUGCAUCUCCACCCCUAAAACUAAAUAGCCUAGUCAAUUUUAUUAAAAUUUUAUUAAUUUUUAUUAUAAAAUAAUAAUUUAAAUUUUAAUUCUUCUUCCCACUUUUCUCAAAAGGGUCUUUCUGGACUUUUUUUUCUUCCAUGAUAUACACAAGUCCUUGUUUAUAUGUCAAUUGGAUUUCAAAUUUCAAAUUCCAUCCACUUUGUUUCUCUGUAGAAACAUCAACUUCCAUUGACAAAGGCCAUUGAAUCUUUGAUGGGACAUCAUCACUGUUGCAGAAGAGAAGCCCCUUCCUUGUACCCGGUUCUGAUUUUCUUGGCGGUGGUCGCAGUGCUUCUUCUUCUGUCGUCUUUGAUCUCCUUUGUGACAACCCGUUCCUAGUUUUACGAUUUUAUAAAAUUUAAAAGAAUGAAUUUACGAAAAUAACCUAGAGGUGAAGAUUUUGACUUUCAUUGACCAACGUGUAGAGAAACGUAUGACUUAUUCACUUAGCGCAUUUGUAUAGUACUCGUUGGUACGAAUGCAUAGGCGAAAGCCGUUUGCGAGUUCGGAUUAUAUCGGUAUAGUUACGGACGUUUGAAGUUGUAAAACUACAGAUUGUGGGAAUGAUUUAAUUUCCACAUGUGGGUUAAAGGUUAAAUUAGUUAAAAUAAAGGGGACCAAUCAGAUUUUUAGGGAAAAAAAAGGACCUUAGGAAGGGAGAGAGAAGCUGAAACUUCCCCCCCCCCCCCAGUUUCGUCAACCCGUGCACCACCAACCCAGUUUCGACCCAGGUGAAUGCCAACCAUGAUUGUUAGACACUUAGCCUUGUUAGAGUUAUGUGUAACUGAGGUUACAUUCCUGAUUAUGAGUACGGCACCAAUUGAGAUAUGGUAGCAAUAUGUGAGUUGUAGCAGAAAGUUGUGGGUAGGUAUUAGAAUGAUAGAGAUUGUGACACGGAAAUUUUAUGGUAUUAAUGAUGUUGCCUGAGAAAGUAGUGCGUGAGCACGUUUGAGGCUUGUUCAGACGAUGUAUGUGUAUUUCUCCAAUGAGGGACAAGAUGGUAAUAUUGCACCCUCGUUCAGUUACAUUUAGUCGUUUACUUAUUGUUGGGCUUAACCCAAUGUUAUUAUACACUUACUUUUAGAGUAAGUAAAGCUACGAGUGUGUGGGUGAAAACUUUCAAUGUUCAAUUUUGAUUUAAAUAUAUCUAUUUUGACUUGAUGCUUUCGUAAAGGAUUUUAUACUGUAGUAUUGUUUUGAAAGAAAAUGAAAAGUUUGAGUUUGGAGGCAUGAAAGAGGAAUCACUGCACUCUGAUCGCGACGGAAUGACAUUAUCUUUUAUGCAACCGCUCUAACUUGAUUUCCUCCUUCCAUGUAUGUAUAUAUAUACUUUUUCCUAUCUUCUAGAGUACAUUAUGUUUAGCUAAUGAUUUCAAAUUUUGGGGACAAAAUUUUUUAAGGUGGAUAGAUUGUGACAACCCGUCCUUAGUUCUACGAUUUUAUAAAUUUUAAAAGAAUGAAUUUACGAAAAUACCCUAGAGGUGAAGGUUUCGACUUUCAUUGACCAAUGUGUAGAGAAACGUAUGACUUAUUCACUUAGCGCAUUUAUGUAGUAUUCGUUGGUACGAACGCAUAGGCGAAAGCCGUUUGUGAGUCCGGAUUAUAUCGGUAUAGUUACAGACGUUUGAAGUUGUAAAAAUAUAGAUUGUGGGAAUUAUUUAAUUUCCACAUGUGAGUUAAAGGUUAAAUUAGUUAAAAUAAAGAGGACCAAUCAGAUUUUUAGAGGAAAAAAAAGGACCUUAGGAAGGGAGAGAGAAGCUGAAACUACCCUUCCCCAAUUUCGUCAACCCGUGCACCACCAACCCGGUUUCGACCCGGGUGAAUGCUGGCCAAUUCCACCAUUUUUUCAGGUAAGUUUAAUCCAUCCUUCAGCUGUAACUUCUUGCACCACCUUCCAUCUACCAUUUAAAAAAUUCAAGGGUUUUAAGGCCUAUUUCGGGUAGAACUCCACCGGAGAACCCGGGGUUCUCGUCGGCGUUUUGUCAUUCCGGUGAGUAUCACCAUUCACCAUCACCCUUAAUCAACUCCCCUUUGACCUAGGAACAAGACCCAAUUAGUUGUAGGGGCGUUAGAACAUCAAGGAAGUCGAAUCGAAGAACACCCAUCUUAGGGUUUCAGGCGGGUUUGAGCGAAUUUGGGGCUUUUCCCGGCCAAAUUGGACUUGGCCACAUGUAUAAAACUUGAUCUACUCAUUGAUAUCUUCAUUUCUAUAAAUUUUGGUAAUUUUAAAAAAUAGUCAAAUUUUCCAGCAAGUCUCCUGCCGACCGCCACCCGUGGCAGUGCGUGCGGCAGCGGCCUGGCUAGUGGGCCGAUGAUGUCCUUUUAAGUUCAAUUAGAUGUUCUGAUGUCAUAAUUGAUAUCCAUAUGAUGUGGUUUGAUUAUUUGAACUUAGUUUCAUUACGAUACAUCACUUGACCUUUAUAUGAAUUGAUGAUUCGUCCGUUCGAUCGUCACCAAACUUUAAUACAUUAUAGUACAUAAUAUUUGAGGACCAUAGAAACUUACAGAUCGAGAGUCCGACAUACAGAUCUUCCUGAAUUGGAUUUGUAAGUUCAUAAAAUAAAGGGGUGUGCUAUCCACACACCCCAUUUUACUUCUCACACAUCCCUUGAUAAUUUAUGUCUGUUGAUCUUCUUCAAUUCAUUCGAUCUGACAACCGAAAAUUAAAAAGGUGUGUGAGAAAUAAAAUGGGGUGUGUGGAUAUGACACCCAAAAAUAAAAUGUUGACCGUCACUUGGUUUUGGCAAUUGGUGGAAAUCCGACCGUUGGAUCAUAAUGAAACAUUAGGAUGUGGUUCUAGAAACAUAAUGUGAAUCUUUGGAAGUAAAGGAUCAAAAAUCCGUGAUGCUGAUCUUCUGAAAUGAAUUACGCAGGGAUUUGUUUUAUGUAAAUUAUGUAUUAUAUUGGUAAGAACUCUAAAACGUGAUUUGAUAAUUGUUCUAGGCGACAUUGGUUCGUGAUGUCUCGAUAUGUGUGCUAGGGAGUCGUAGCGUGGACCUCAGGUGAGUGGGUCUUUUCCUUUCUAUCGUGUGUGUGUGUGUGUGUGUGUGUGUGUAUAUAUAUAUGAUUGAUAAUUUCACAAACGUUUAUAAAUUGAUUAUUGCUUAUGAUUACUGUGAAUGCUUUGAAGUAAUUAUUGUGAACUACGAAUGACUUGAUCCCUGUUUAGGGUACGUAGGCAGUCUAACGAAACGUUAGAUGCAGCCAUACAACAAAUGAGACUAAAUAAUUGAGACAAUAGCCUUGUUUAGGGAAUUGAGUAAUGUGAGGGGCAUUGGUGGAAAAUGUGAGAUUUAACCUUAUGAUUUGGUGGUUAAAUGUUGGUCAUAAAUCAAUGUGUGAAGAAUCAAGAAUUUGAAGUAAGGAAACAUAAGUAACGAUAGUUAAUUAAACUAGUGUCUAGUUGGGCUUAUCAUUGAUAAUUAUUCCCGAAAAUAAAUAGUUCGGGAGUAGGGCAUUACAGCGUAUGCAUUUUUAUGCCACAUUAUAUAUAUAUAUAUAUAGAUAUAUAUAAUUGAAAAUGCUAUAACAUGGUUGAGUAUCAGAUUGCAUCAUGGUUUAUCUAUAUGUAUAUUACAUGCACAUAAUUAUUGUGAACGCUUUGAAGUGCAAAGGUGAACGUAAGACACCCAGGUAAGUUCAGGUGAGUUUAUGGUAUUAGUUGAAAUGAUGGAGUUAUGGCAUGAUUACAUGUAUGUUUUAGGCAACUCCAACCUUGUUGUACAUGUUGCAAUGAUAGGCAACUCCGACACUAUCGUACAGGUUGCCCAUGAGUCGUAUAGGUUACAAUAGAUGCAGUUAGAGCUCAUAAACCUGCACACCGGUGUUAGUGCUCCCGCCCGUGGCCAGGGCACAGUCAUUCACGUGAUGUUCACCUUCCGCACCUUACGCUCACCUUGGAUCCAAGGUAGGUGCAUAGUCCUGUCGUACAUACCACUACAGGUGGUUCCGACUUAUAGGUGACCCGCGAUUAUUCUCACAGUCUUCACGUGAUCGUAACAAUUGAGUGUACUUAUUUACAUCCAGUCCUGUCGUACAGACCACUAGAGGUGGUUUCGACUCGUGUGUAGGGAUAUGUGAUGAGUUAGCAUUGACUGAUGAGAUAUGGAUAAGUCAUACAGGUCACUAUAGGCGACUCUGACUUAUGUGAUAGCAUUGACUGAUGAGAUAUGGAUGAGUCGUACAGGUCACUAUAGGUGACUCUGACUUAUGUGAUAGAAUUGACUGAUGAGAUAUGAAUAAGUCGUGCAGGUCACUAUAGGUGACUCCGACUUAUGAGCUAGCAUUGGCUGAUGAGAUAUGGAUGAGUCGUACAGGUCACCAUAGGUGACUCCGACUUAUGUGCUAGUAUAGGUUAUUAAGAACAUGAUUAUUUAUAUUGCUAAUGAGAUGAUGUGUCGUGGUAUACUUCUAGAUUUACUGUUAGUAUACUUCUGAUUUCAUACUUAUACGUAGUAUGAUUUUUCGAAAACUAUACAGGUUUUACGGCGAGGGGUUAGUACCUUUGAUAAUUGAAAUGAUUUUGAAAAUCUUUGUUUACCCACUCACACUUUCUAUUUUGCACCCCUCCAGGUUCUAUUAGCAAAGUUUCGUAUCGACGCACUCCCAGUUAAGGUGGCUCCGUAUGAUGGUAUAAUUAUUAUCUUACCUCACUGUACUUUUCUUAUGCUCUGUAUCACGUGUGAAAUGCGUCCAUACCUGCUCACCGCGCACUAAGUAUAUAGGCACUUUUAGUUUUAAAUUUAUUUACAUUUUACACAUUAUCACAUUCUAUGGCUUCGUCACCUUCCAGGUGUUGGCUAGCAUAACUCGAUUCGGAGUUCUAGUGGACAUUCCGGGUCGGGGUGUUGAAACCCCGAAAUUUGAGAUCAAUUGGGGGCUCAUAGCCACGCCGUUGUUGUUGCUAGCGGUUGUGCAUUGGUUGUCGUCAUAAACUCCCAAGGCGCUAUGUUUUGUGCCUCCACCAUGUUGCAAGUGUGGGCUCAGAAUCAACCUUAGCCUCGAGGAGCUCUACACUAAGAACCCGGAAUCAACCUCCCCAUUUGGAUUUGGAGAAGCUCUGCACCAAGAACCCUGAAUCUCUCUCUGCCCCGAAAUCAACCUCAGCCUCGAGGAGCUCUGCACCAAGAUGUCUCUACGACACGUUGAUCGUGCGGAAGGUUGAUGGCCCAUCACGUUAGAUGGCUCGGCAUAUGGGUUUGUCGAUUUUAAGCAGGUUUCUUGCUUGGCUUGGGCUGGGUGUCGGUUAAAAUGUUGGGCUGGAGUGGAUAGCCUGGGUGCCGGGCUGGUUUUUUAGCUGGGUGCUGGCCUAUCAGUGCCCCGGUGGAACUGCUCUAAUAAUAAAACCAAAUUUAUGGUUACACUUGGACAUUGCAUGACUACUGCAUGCCUACUUGCGUUUACUGUUACUUUACUUUUGUGCUCUAAACUUAUCUGACAUGUAAUAAAAAGAAUAAUCCCACUGGUAUGCCCUUUUGCGAAGUUGUGUUUUAACUAAGUUUUCAUGCAGGAUUGCUUUUGUUAUUAUUGUACAUAUUGGGAGAUUCUGUAGGAUUUUUAUUGAACUUGAAAAUAAUUAAUAGUAACAUAGUAAUUACCUUACUUAUGCCUUUGUCACCACACAGUGUCCACCAAGAUAGCCUGAUUCAUAGUCUACCUGGUUAUCUAUGUCGAGGUAUGUCAUAAAUGAUGAGUUUUCGGAUGAGGUUCACCAUGAUUUUAUCUUAAAUGAUUUCAUUUUUUCAGUGAUUUAGUGAUAUAAAAUAUUUUAAAAGAGUAAAUUUAAGUUAAAAUACAUGUUAAAGUUGUUUAUAAAUGUAAGAAUUGAUGGAGCAUUGAAAAAAGGAGUUUUCAAAAAGCAAGAAAAAAAAAAAACAAAAGCUUUGCAGUAUUCCCAGGUGAGUGGGUUUAUUUCUUACUCUGGGACCACUCUAAGUCCCUAUAUACAAUUCUCAUAUUUGAGGAUUUCUUUAGGUAUCAAGUGAGUACCUAUAUGUUGAAAUACUUUGAGAACUCCUAUUCCGACCCAUUUAAGGAUUACAUGGUUGAAUGUACUCCAUUUAGUGUCUCCAUUAAAGAUGCCAUUACAUGCCCAAAAGGCAACUUGUUUAAUAAAGGCAACUUUCACUAUUUAUAGCGAUAUAUUUAUAUUAGAAGACAACAAUUUAAGCUAAACCAUAAUAGACUAGUCAUGAUAAUUUAUUAUUAAACUUGUCGUUGUGCUUAAAAUCUUGAAUAUAUAAAUGAAGAAGAGGAAGAAUAUCAUUAAAUAUCGAAGUGUGAAGAUAUUUUCAUAACUUACAAGUUACAAUCAUCAAACUUUUUGAUCUAUGCAAACAACAACCUUAUUUUAUGUUCCAGUUUAAACGGUAAAAGCCCAAAGAAAGUUCCAAACGCCACCUGAACUUAACCCACCGACUAAUCAGAACCAUCACCACCACUUGCUUAAAUAGUCCAACAGGGCACAUUCUGAUAAGACAUCCCAUCCAACUCUUAGCACUCUUUUGAUAUAUAUAAAUUAUAUAAUGUUAAUGAUUUCUAAAGUGGCAUCUUCAAUUAUUAUAAAUACGUGAAAUUCAAGUUAGAUCUAAGAUUGUGAACAAAUAAAACACAGCAACACAAAUUCAAGAUUUGAAAUUUUGGAUUUUGUCUUAGUUGUUGUAUUUUACAAUGUUGAAAAGAAUAUUAUGCAAAGAUAUAAACAUGAGGAUUAAAAAUAAUAAUUACAAACAUGAGUUAGGCUAAUUGGUAAGAUUAGUGUUUUCGUUCAUGUGCGUAAGUACUCGUUUGAGUGGUUCAGGAUUAUCUUAAGCUAACAAAAAGAAGGUCUUGCCUUAAUAAUUUAAAUAAUAUUUCGACUAAUUCCUUUCUUUCCUAACAUUCUAUUAUAUAGUAUGAGAACAUGCUACCAAGGUCAUUCUAGCGUACGGGUGGUCAAACUAACAAAAUCGUUGGCGUGCUCAGUUUGUUCUACUCACACUAUGUAUAUUAUCACAUAUAUCUUGUCGUGAUAUGAAUUAUUAGGCAGUAACGUUCAAUAUAUCGUUAACUACGUGUUAGAAUUAAAUGGCCUCAUUUGUUAUGCAUGCGCAUCAUGCUCACAUUCUAAUAACCUUUACUUAGAAUUAUCUUGUGAAAAACUAAAAAAAAGUAGUGUUAUAUUUAUUAUCUAUUAGUAUUAUCUUUUUAAUAAAAAUAAGACCCGACAACUCAUGCUAAUCUCAUUUAAAAAAAAAAAAAACCAAAUGAAUUACAAAAAUUUAUAUUUUUUCUAUUAUUGAAAAAUUGAAAAGACAGUAAUACGUUGUAAUCCCGUAAUAUGUGUGGAACUUGUCCCUUGUUAUUAUUCCUAAUAUUCCUCUCACAAACCCAAAUGGCGACACACGUGCGAGGUCCGACAACAGUCCUCCACAUGCUUGAACCUUCCAUUUUCCAACCUCUCGCCCCACCACUCUGAAACGCCAACAGAGAGAGAAAGAAGAGAGAGAAAGAGGAGGGAGAAAGAAUAGAGAGAGAGUAAAAAGCAAAAAAGAAGAACAAAAAAAAGAGAAUGACUAGUCUCUGUCUCUGUAUCUCUCUCACAUAUUCAACAGAUCCCACCCAAAAAGCAAAAGACCGCUCUCUCUGCUUCUCUCUCUACCCCUUCAGCAGUUUCUCUCUCUAGAAUGGACGAGACUGCAUCUUCUUCAUCCUUAUCUCUUUGAUCUCUCCUCCUCACCAAACCCAAUGAAUCCCUCCUCCACCGCUUCCAUCUGAGAGGCAUUUUAUAUUUAUUUUCCAAUUUAUUUGUUUUUUUCUUUCAAAGUAUGAGCAUUUUUUGGAUUUUUCUGUGAAGCCCUGUGAGUCAUCUUCUUCUUUCUCAAUAGGUAAACUUUCUCUCACACCCUCUUACCAUCCCACCUCCGCCGACAUUGUUAACGGUUUUCUGGUGCUUUUUGUUUGUGCUCUCACUUCUUUAUAUUUUUCUGGUUUCUCCAUCUGUUUGCUCUGUUUUACUUUCUGGGAAAUCUGAGGAAAAUAAAAGAGAAAAAAAAAAUUGGAAACUGCAAAAUUUAAGUUCGUAAAGUUCCUGAUAGGAAAGUAAUGUUCUGGAUUUAGUCACAAAUAUUUUUGCUUUUCUGGGUUCGCAGAAAAGCGAAAUCAUUUUGGUACACACCAUGUUUUGUUUUUCACUUUUCCACAUUUUCUCGGCAGCCAAACACAUUAUAUGAAAAGCUCCUUCAAUUCUCUCACUGUUCUGUUUGUGUUUUGUGACUUUGGGUUGUUGUGGUUUCAGAUCUAAAGCCUGGAUUUUUCUCCGCUGCUACGAAAGGUUACUCUCUAAACCCCAAUUUAAAGAUCUAAGAUUCUCUAAUCUAGUGUUAAUUAAUUAAAUAAAUAAUUAAUCAAUGAUUUCAGAUGUGUAUGCGUUUUGUUUGCCUAGGUUUUUGGUUCUGAGAUCUUAACAUGGUAAUUUGUAGUAUUUUAUUUGUUUGGUUUAGAUACUGCGGUUGCUGUUAUGGAUAUUCCUUGAAUUUGGGUGGCUUUUGCUUGACUAGGCUUUUGGUUUUCCUUGUACCUAACGACUACUUAAUUUUGUUUUUCCGAUGUUUUAGGUUUCUGGGAACAUUUGAAUUAAUUCAAAACUAGUUCCUUAACCUUAUUUAAUCCAACCGUUCAACUUCAACUUCUUCAUUUUUACCGUCUGGGCAUCUCCGGUUUCGAACCCGAAAGAUGCAGAGACCUCCAUCGGAAGACUUUGCUUUGAAGGAGACCAAACCCCACCUCGGUGGGGGGAGGAUCUCCGGUGACAAGCUCACGAGCACGUAUGAUCUCGUUGAGCAGAUGCAGUACCUAUAUGUCCGGGUUGUUAAGGCGAAGGACUUGCCCGCGAAAGAUGUGACCGGUAGCUGUGACCCUUAUGUGGAAGUUAGGCUUGGGAAUUACAAGGGCGCUACUCGACAUUUUGAGAAGAAGUCGAAUCCGGAGUGGAACCAGGUUUUUGCAUUUUCGAAAGAUCGUAUUCAGGCUACCGUUCUUGAGGUCGUUGUGAAGGACAAGGAUGUUGUGAAGGACGAUUUGAUAGGCCGAGUUUCUUUUGACCUGAAUGAGGUUCCAAAACGCGUUCCUCCUGACAGUCCUCUGGCACCACAGUGGUAUAGAUUGGAAGAUCAUAAGGCGAACAAGGCUAGGGGAGAGCUGAUGUUGGCUGUAUGGAUGGGCACCCAAGCCGAUGAAGCUUUUCCCGAAGCAUGGCAUUCCGAUGCUGCCACAAUUAGCGGAGCUGACAGUCUUUCAAAUAUCCGAUCAAAGGUGUAUCUCUCUCCUAAGCUUUGGUAUUUGAGGGUUAAUGUGAUUGAAGCUCAGGAUUUGAUACCAAGUGAUAAGGGUAGGUAUCCUGAAGUUUAUGUGAAGGCCAUCUUGGGAAAUCAAGCUUUGAGGACUAGGAUUUCUCCAAGCAGAAGCCUAAAUCCCAUGUGGAACGAAGAUCUAAUGUUUGUAGCAUCAGAACCUUUUGAGGAGCCCUUGAUUUUGAGUGUGGAGGACAGAAUUGCAUCUAACAAGGAUGAAGUUCUGGGGAGAUGUGCUAUUCCUCUGCAGUAUGUGCACCGACGGUAUGAUCAUAAACCUGUGAACACUAGCUGGCACAAUCUUGAGAAGCAUGUUAUCAUAGAAGGGGAAAAGAAGAAGGAAAUCAAGUUUGCAAGCAGGAUUCAUAUGAGGAUCUGUCUGGAAGGUGGUUACCAUGUCCUCGAUGAAUCAACACACUAUAGUAGCGAUCUUCGACCGACAGCAAAACCGUUGUGGAAGUCCAGCAUUGGGGUCCUUGAAGUGGGAAUUCUGAAUGCUCAGGGGUUGAUGCCAAUGAAGACCAAGGACGGGAAAGGUACAACAGAUGCUUAUUGUGUGGCGAAAUACGGGCAGAAAUGGGUUCGAACAAGAACCAUUAUUGAUAGCUUUACUCCCAAGUGGAAUGAGCAGUACACCUGGGAAGUCUAUGAUCCUUGUACUGUCAUAACAAUUGGGGUAUUUGAUAACUGUCAUCUGCAUGGGGGAGAAAAGGCCGGAGGGGCCAGGGAUGCAAGAAUUGGGAAGGUAAGGAUUCGUCUCUCCACCCUUGAGACUGAUCGAGUUUACACACACUCGUACCCCCUUUUGGUUCUGCACCCAAAUGGUGUAAAGAAGAUGGGUGAAAUUCAUAUGGCCGUGAGGUUCACUUGCUCUUCCCUGCUUAACAUGAUGCACAUGUACUCACAACCACUGCUGCCAAAAAUGCACUAUAUUCAUCCAUUAACUGUAAGUCAGCUCGAUAGCUUGAGGCACCAGGCUACUCAGAUUGUAUCAGUGAGGCUGAGUCGUGCUGAACCUCCAUUGAGGAAUGAAGUGGUUGAGUACAUGCUGGAUGUGGGCUCCCACAUGUGGAGUAUGAGAAGAAGCAAAGCUAACUUCUUCAGGAUUAUGAAUGUUUUGGGUGGAAUAAUUGCUGUUGGAAAAUGGUUUGACCAGAUCUGCAAUUGGAAAAACCCCAUUACUACCGUACUCAUUCACAUCUUGUUUAUUAUACUGGUCAUGUACCCGGAGCUGAUAUUGCCUACAAUUUUCCUCUACCUCUUCUUGAUUGGAGUUUGGUAUUACAGAUGGAGGCCAAGGCACCCUCCUCACAUGGACACUCGUCUGUCUCACGCAGAUUCUGCACAUCCUGAUGAACUUGAUGAAGAGUUUGAUACAUUCCCUACUUCACGGCCUUCCGAGAUAGUGAGGAUGCGAUAUGAUAGGUUGAGGAGUAUUGCAGGGAGAAUUCAGACAGUGGUUGGUGACUUGGCUACUCAAGGGGAGAGGCUGCAAUCUUUACUGAGCUGGAGAGAUCCAAGAGCCACCGCUUUGUUCGUGCUUUUCUGUCUGAUUGCAGCGAUUAUCUUGUAUGUUACACCGUUCCAGGUUGUGGCUCUUCUUACUGGAUUUUAUGUGCUGAGACACCCCAGAUUCCGUCACAAGCUUCCCUCAGUGCCACUGAAUUUCUUCAGGAGGUUGCCGGCUAGAACUGACUGCAUGCUGUGAGGAGGACCGUUAUAUUUAUUUUGAGUUGCCUUUGAGUGGCAGGGCAUUCUACUUUGCGCUAUAUUGUGUUUAGUUACUCAAGAAGAUGCAGUACCUCAUUGAGCUGUUUCGUGUUGAAUGCUCAGCCGCAACGAGGAGCAUCGAGAGCGCGACGCUUCUGGUAUGAUGUAUUUAGACCUCGUCUUGAAGGUGACUAGUUUUCCGCUAAAAACUUUUAUCUAAGGUGACUAGUUUAUGUCCAUUUGUAAUUUUGUAGGCUGUGAUUGGAAUGUUGAACCAUUUUGUGCUUAAUUACUUUCUUCAGUAUUUUUGAACUCACGUUUUGUCAAGUCCAUCAGGUUGAACAUCUGUUUCGGUGUCUUUUCGGGGUUUUGGUGUGGCGAUUUGGUUUAUGUCCUUUUCGUACACAAUGACCUGUGGGAAAGAAUAAUAGUGUUGAGAUUUGAUGCGUAAUGUUUAAGAGUAGGUUAUGAAAGAACAUUGCUUGGCUCCUUAUCACGAACGAAAUCAUUCUAUUCAAAGCGCAAAAAGAAACGGUUGUGAACGUGUCGAGGUGUGAUUUGUCAGCAAGGAGGAAUGACCCGUACGAGUAAAUAAGUCGAAUAUUUUCUAUUAUUUCCAGACGAAUGCAGGCUACCUACCCUGUGAAUUUAUUAUUAUUAAGAGGAUAGAGUUUGAAAUUAUUAUAAUUAUUUAAUAUAAGGGAAUUUUAAACACGCGGCGAUAGGAGAAAAUUUAGCACAUUAUCCACUAGAAUUUUGUACCUGCGUGACAGCGAUAUAAUAUUAUGUAUAAUGCAUGCGUAUAUUAUAUAGCAUAACCAAUUUAUUAAAUGCAUGUGACGAUGUCGUGUUUGGAUAGCGACUCAAAUGAUUAAGCAAAAACAGGGACACUUGAUUUUAUGACCUAUUUAAUUCGAGUUAAGUCUAUUUUAGUUGGGUAGAAAAUUCAAGUUAUGGGGACAGACAAAGAUUGCUCAUGCAGUUUAAUCUUAUUUUUCAUCUCCUUAAUACUUGUUUCAAGAAUCAUGUCGGUUGGUUGGGUGGUGUGUCAGUUUUCUACUUUUACAAAUAAACAGAUUCAUCGUUAUAUAUCGUCUCGGUCAAAUAAUACAUACAUGACAAUGCAUUAUUAGAUGAAAACGUAUCGAUAACGAUGGAUUCAUAAGUUGUUAAUCUGCUUUCGAUUUUGAGUUCCUCUUCUCUUAAAUUAGAGUGCUUCAUUAUGGAGGGUUUAAAGUUGAAUAAUUGUAGAGUAAAAGUUACCUUAAAAUGAAUGGGCAUUUGUUUCUGAGUUCUAGGUAGGUUGGCGUACCUGUCUUAUUUAUUUUAUUUUAUUUUUUUAAUUUUUUAAUUCUUACAACUUUUCUAUGUCUUGUUUUAUUUGUUUUAUAAUUUUUAGAAGAUGUUAUAAAACUUAAAAGGACAAUGAUUUCCAAUUAUUUUCGCAUAUUAUACAUUAUAUUUUAUUUUUAGCUAUUAGAUUGAAUGAAAAACGAUAUGUGGCGAGUAUGUGUUAAUCAUUUUCCAACUUAGAACCUAAUUUAGUUUCUUAUCAUUUGUUUUGGUCGAUCUUAUUAGUUUUCUUAUCAAGAAAUAGACGUCACCCGCUCAUCGAGGAGACGAAGCAGACACCCCUCCCAGAUCUUCAAUGGCAAAAGUACCCCCACACUUUUUACCCCUGUCCGUCGGAUCUGUAAUCUUAACAGUAAAAAAAAGUCAUUUAGGAGUCUGUGUGGGCCGUUUGAGUGUAGGCCUGAUCCAAGCCGGAGGCCACAUUGGACCAAAAAGCAGCAACCCAAACCAGAAUGGCAAAACGGUAAAUAAAUCCAAAUCAACACUUUUUUUUAAGAAUGGCAAAAUGGUAAAUAAAUCAAAAUCAAUCCAAUUUCACUGUAGCUUAUGAAUAGUACUAGUUUCUCCCCAACUGAAGACUAAAGUAAUGAUAAACUUGGAUUGGACUUCCAAAAUAAUUUUUAUAUAACAAUAUUUUACAUUACGGUAUGAGGGUAUUUGACGCAAAUUACAUAAUGGACCUAACACAAUAAUGUGAUAUCAAAUUCAUCAGUUAGGGGGCUCAAAUCUAAUAGUAGACCGUAUCAUUAGUGACAUUCUUUUUCUUUGAUAAAAACGGCACACUAAUCUAACCUAAUACGAAUUGUUGGAGAAAAAUUCAAAUUUGGAUGCAUGAAAAAAUACAUAUAUGCUCUAGUUAAUGUGACUAUAUUCACAUCAGUGACCUCUUUCUCAUUCUCUCUUUAAUUUCCUUCUUGGACACUCUACAUUGCCUAUGCACUCAUGUACAACACCAAACACAUUCAUUCUUACCCUAAAAAACACUCAUUCUUUUUUCUAGUGAGAGACAUUUGAGUUGGGUAGGUGGUUAGCUAUUUGCGCAUGUAAGUAGGUAAAGUAUAUGGGCACAUAAAGGUUAUGGCCCUGAAUAUUAAGGUUUGAAUAAUGUUAGGAAAAUCAAAUUUGUAAACUAAAUGAUGUGUCAUCAAUAAAAAAUAAGUUAAUCAAUAUUUAAGUAUAAUUCAAUUAUCAACAUCCACAUAGUUUAGUUUACAAAAUUUAAUUUCUUUAGCAUUAUCCGGUUUGGAAACCCUUACACUAUGUUUGGAUGAAGAAAUUUAAGAUUACUACGGAAUUUUAAAAUGACGGAAAUUAAAAUGAAGGGAUUUUAUUUUCUAGAAUUGUGAAUUUUGUUGUUUGGUUAACUUAAAAGAACAAUGGAAUUGAAAACGGAAUUUGUUAAUUUUAAACUCCCAAUCAUAGAAAUUGGGAAAUGACACUUAUUUACAUGGAAUUUAAACUUGGAAAUUGGAGGCCCCAAAUUCCAAGUUUUUUUUCACGCAGAAAUUCUAAAUUUCUAUGUUAUAAAUCCAAACAAGGGAAUUGGUGCAUGUCAAUUUAUAAAUUCUGAGUUUUAUUUAAAUUCCAAGUUUAUUUCCCUUAUCCAAACAGACCAUUAAGGUUUUGGCACCUUAGUUUGAGAUAAGUUCUUGAGUCUUUUUAAAUAUAAAAAUAAGGAUGUCAUAUAUCACUAGAUAACUUAUCAUAAAAGAAGAUCUUUGUAUAUUCACUUCCACCAAAAAAUUGACAGUAUUGGUUGUUUUUUUUUUCCAGGUGAAAUAAUAUUACGAAGAAGAUAUUGCUCUUACCAUAUAUCCGACUAGAAAUCUUGUUACCUAUUCAAAAUGUUACCUUGGAAAUAUUUAAAUAUUGAUGUGCUCUCGUGGCUUUGGGAGUGUUUUGUUAUUCACAUACCACUUUUUACCUUUUACACGCUCUUCUUAAUUUAUAAUCGUCGGAUUGAAUUAAUUGAAAAUGAUCAAAAGACAAAAAUUCACAAAAAAAUGUAUAAAAGGUUAAAAUGAAUGUGUAGAUAACACUACAUUUUUUUUUUCUAAAUGAAAACAACUAAUAUUACAACGCAUAUCCACGCAUAGGAUGAGCGGUAUCAUCCGUCCCAUUGAUAAUGUGAUCAAUAGAAUUAUGAUUUAACUAUAUUUGUUCUAAAAAUAAAAAUAAAAGACAAUUUUUUUAUUUAAAACAAAAAAAGUAUCAGUGCAAUGCAACGAUGUUUGGUACGUGGGACGGGACGGGACGGAACGGGACGAGGCGUUCCGUCCCGCGUUUGGUGCGCCAAAAAUGGGUGGAACGGGCUGUUCCACGGGACAGAUUUUGGGUGUUUUUACGUCCCACCUCCUCCCCCUGGAACGGGUUUGUUCCACGUCUGUGGAACACAAUGUUUUACCAUUUUAAGACAAAUAUACCCCAUGUCUUUUUCAAAAAUUACACCUUCGUUCCGUCCCGUCCCUUCCCGUUCCGUCCCGUCCCGUCCCGUUCCGUCCCGUCCCGUCCCGUCCCGUUCCGUCCCGUCUGCGUACCAAACGCACCCUAAUGCAACGAUGUUUUGAUUACGAAGAUUUUAUUUAAUUGUGCAGUUAACGCACAAAAAACAAGACAAGGACAAAAAUCCCCAUGGUGGAUUAGGGUUCAGUCAUUUAUUCUCUUUCAAACAAACAAAACAAAACAAAAGGUCAUUUGUUCCCAUGCACGCAUGCAUCCAAAUACGCAUGUUAGUUUUUGUAUGACUUAACAUUUUUUAGUGCAUACACAUCUCAUCCAGAAGCCAGUACAUUUGCCUCCCAUAAAUCCCUCUUUUUUGCAUGUAGUUGCACAAUUGCUUGACCUGAAGCAAAUACCGUGGUAUUUAUGGCUUGGAGACUCACAUGUCUUCGACGACUUCUCAUUCUUCGAUGACUUCUCUUUUGUCUUCCCCUCAGCAACCAUUGGAUCCGUUCCUGCCAAACAUGCAUCGAUAUAUCAACCCAUAAAAUCCUGGUUUUCUUUUUCAUCACCGGGAGAAUGAGUAUUCGAACUCAAAACUUCUUUCAAUCUAUAAUUUUAUUUCAUUGUUAGGCAUAAAGAUGAAGUUAAGAUGAGGAAAGAGAAAGGUACCAAUAGCCACCAGAAGGAGGAGGAGGAUGAAGACAGUCGAAAACAAACGCUCGGAACGCUCCAUCUUGACUUUCUGGGUGCGUGAGUGAUCUUUGCACGUGUGUGAAAUAAGUGAGAUAAAGAGAGAGCUGUUGAUUCAAAGAAUUAACUUUGAAGGUCUUUAUAUAGCAUUUGUAUGAAAAUUUUUUUAAGUGUAUUUCCGUAAAGGGCGUUCCAUGGUAAAUAUGGAGAGGUUGAAUAAAAUGUUAGCUCCGAGAGGCAAGAACAAAACCCUAUUUUAGCUCAUCAUUUUUUGGCAUCCUACAUUUGAUGAGAGAUAGUGGCUCUAUUUCUCCUCAAUUGGAAAUAUUGCUUUUUCAGGGUACAAAGGAGGAGUUCGAACUUUGAAUUUUUAGCCUAUUUCUGCAUAUCACCCCUCUCACCCUCACCACUAGACUAUAACCCAGUUGAAAUUGAAAUGUUACAUUGUUGAAAUUGUUCCUACAUUUUCCCUAUCACAAUUGUCUCUUUCAGUGUUUUUUUUUUCAAGCACAUGUAUUUGAUUUUUAUUUUACUUAGUUUUAUACAUAACCUUUUUUUAUGGGAAAAGUCUUUAUGGCCAAAUCGAAAGGUGGAUUAAUACUUCAAGCGUUUGCUUAGUUCCAUGAGAAUCAAACCCUCCUCUUGGAAUGCUAUAUUUCAUUGUUAGAAUUUGCAUGGUCAUAAUUGAUUUGGUUGUUAUCUAAACUACAUAUCAAUAGAAUUCUGAUUGUCAACCAAAAUUCUAUAAAAUCAGCAUUCUAACCCUCUAACCAAAACAUAACAAAAAUAAAAAUUGGGGGCAAUAUAGUAAUUACAUGAACACGAAAUUUACUUUUUUUUACAUGAACCUCAUAAUUAUGUAAUAAUAACAUGUUUAUUUAAAACUUAAAACUUAAAUUAAAAAUGGCAUAUAUAUACACAUCGCCAUCUCUCAUACCCAUGUAUAUCACACUAUUCUUUCUUAGAACUACAUCCGUGGUUUGAUUCUCCUUUUGGAAGAUAUGCAGGCAGUCCAAUCUAGAUACAACCACACCCCUCAUCAACCAAAAAAAAAAACUCAUCUACCACAAUCAAUGCCUGUGAUAGAUUGCAAUAUACCGCGAACACUGUGCCCGUUAGUAAUCUAUAUGUGAUAAAGAGUCUCAUUUUCUACCAUGGGUCUUGUCCGUUGUCAAAUGCAAUAUAACCACGGAUUGUGCUUGUCGUAGAUCCAAGGUAUUAAAUAUCGGAAAUAUCGGUAGUCCGAAAAUGCGGAAAUAUCAAUGGAAAUAUCGGGAUAAUAUCGAUAUCGAUAAAAUUACAUGGAAACCACGGAAAUUGUAAGAAAAACUUGGAAAUUUUUAUUGAAACUUUGCAGGAUGUUUAU